UAAUUUGUAGAAAUUCAUUUCCAUCGGUUUCCAUUGGCUUUAGCACAAACCGAAACAGAGCUCUGGGGAAAAGUUUUACUUCUUGUGAUAUUAUGCCUUUGUUUCUUCAUUCAUCAUAUUUUUCGAAUUCAUGCUCUCAUUCAGAGGGUAAAGCCUUUUCCAGGCUGCUUUGUAGCCAAACUUUGACGCCUUUGAUGCAUGACUGUCAUUCUUUUUCUUGGUUAUUCAAACUUUCAGUUAUAUAUUAUGUGAAAGAUUCUUUUUCUUAUUAAAGUACAUUGUUGGUUUUUUCUUUUUCCUUCAUUUUGUCUGAAUUAAAGCUAAAAUUGUAAGUUUUUUUUUAAUUGGAAAAUAUUAAUAUUUCAUUAAACAAAUAACAACAAUACAACUACUUGCAGUACAUCACUAGUUCACAUUACAAAGAUUAAAAUACAGAGAUCUGUUUUAGUUACAGAGAUCUAUUACAGUAAUCAAUUGAAUUAACCCCUAAAAGUUUAUUAAAGAAUAGGAAGAAACACAUGUACACUAAAAGAAAAACUUCCAUUCGUAAUGCACAUAUAAUUCAAGCUCCAUUUGGGGUUCCAUGGCUCUUUCGAAAUUAUCUCCACCACCAUAUUUAUGCUUUCCAGCUAGUACCAAAAUAGAUUUACCGUAAAAAUUGAUUCACACCCUCUAACUUUACAAACAUGAGAAACAUAGACUCUAGAUCUAAAAGUUGAAGGGUUAUGUACUGGCAAAUAGAAAUUAAACCAACAUUAUCACUAUAACAGAUACAUUAUUACCAUCAAAGAUCAAGAUCUGAAUGGAUGCACAGCAGCCAUCGUCAAGACCAAAAGAGGAAGAAAUUGAAAUAGAACAACCACCUUAAGGUGGAGAAGGCCAGAACAAGACACCCAUCCUCAAAUCAUAUGGAAGAGGUGGGUGCAACCAAAAAAAAAAAAAAAGAGAGAAUCCACUGGAGAAGGCAAGAAAGAUUUCUGCCUCCAAAGAUUUGGUGAGGAAGAGAUGAGGAAUUUGGAGAGGAAAAGUUUCGGAGAGAUCUAGAGUUUGGCUUUAAAAAUGUGUUUUAAAGAAAAAGUUGUUGAGAGGAAACGAGACCAAUUAGAUCAUGCAAGAAGUUAAUUUUUUUUAAAUAAAAAAGGAGAAAUGAUGAUCUUACAAAGUUUGAAUAUAAAGUUUAAAAUCUAAAAUUAAUGACUUGACAAUCGAUGCAUUAUUAGCCUAAUAGAGUAAGAAGUCCCUGCUAAAGAAUUCAAUAUUCUACCCAGAAUACUUCUUUCUAUUGCAAUUAAAUGAUGAUUAUUUGUUUUUAUCAUGAAAGCUAAAAUAACUUUGUGAGUAAUUUGAUCCUUUUGCAGUAUAAAAAUAAAUUCAGAAAUGGGCACCAUUCUUCCUUUGUUUAAAUCAUGGUCUCCACGGAAGUAAAAUUUUGGUUACUACACGUAAUGAGUUAGUUGCACGUAUGAUGGGAUCAACAAAUAUUAUCUUCAUUGAGCAAUUGAUUGAAGAGGAUUGCUAGUCGGUUUUCAAGCGAUUAGCAUUUUUCGGUCACUCUUUCGAGGAUUGUGAAAGAUUAGAACCAAUCGGCCGAAAAAUUGCACGCAAGUGCAAAGGCCUGCCUCUUGCUGCAAAGGUAAUAAGGAAUCUCUCGCGUUCAAAAAGUGCAAUAAACGACUGGCAAAGAAUUUUAGAUAGUGAAAUGUGGAAGGCAGAAGAGAUUGGGAAAGGUCUUUUGACUCCUUUAUUGUUGAGUUAUAAUGAUUUGUCGUCCAAUUCUAUGGUAAAACAAUAUUUUUCAUUUUGUGCUGUCUUUCCGAAAGACUACAAUAUGUAUAAAGAGGAGCUAAUUUCACUAUGGAUGGCUCAAGGUUACCUUAAUGCAGAAGAAUAUGAAGAGAUGGAGAUGACUGGGGAAGAGUGUUUCAACAUUUUAGCAACACACUCUUUCUUUCAAGAGUUUGAGAAAAAUGAUGAUGAUGAUAUUAUGAGUUGCAAGAUGCAUGACAUAGUACAUGAUUUUGCUCAAUUUGUAAGUAGCAAAGAAUGUUUGUGGCUAGAAAUUAAUGGUACCAAAGAAUCAGUCAUAAACUCUUUUGGUGGGAAAGUCCGUCCCUUAGGUUAAAGUUUAAAGGAGGCGCUUUAUUUCCUAUGUCCAUUCAUGGACUUAAUAGAUCGCGUACCCUCCUAAUUGAUUAUGAAAGUCCUUCCAAUUCGUCUCUUGAUAGUAGCAUCCUUCCUGAGUUAUUUAGUAAAUUGGCAUGUUUAAGAGCAUUAGUUAUAAGGCAAUCAUUCUUGCUUUGUCGUCCUGACCCAAAUUUGAUUAGAGAAAUUCCAGAAGAUGUCGGGAAAUUGAUGCUUUUAAAAUAUCUUAAUUUGUCUGAAUUACACAUAGAGAGACUGCCUGAGACUUUGUGUGAAUUAUAUAAUUUACAAAAGCUAGAUAUUAGGGGGUGCCGAAAUCUAAGAGAAUUGCCUGCAGGGAUUGGGAAGUUAAAGAACAUGAGGAGUUUGCUAAAUGGUCUUACUUGUUCGUUGAAGUACAUGCCAAUAGGAUUUUCCAAAUUAACCAAUCUUCGAACAUUAGACAAGUUUGCUGUGGGUGGAGGUGUUGAUGGUGGCAGUACGUGGAGGCUUGAAUGUCUGAAAAAUCUUCAACUCCUUCGAGAAUGUGGAAUAGAAGGGCUGAGUAAUUUGUCACAUGUAGAUGAGGCUGAGAGAUUAGAACUCAAAAAUAUGGAAAACCUCCUUCGUUUGUAUCUUUUGUUUGAAGUUGUAGAUUGGGAAGAUAAAGAAGAGGAUGAAGAUGAAGGUGGGGAAGAUGAAGGUGAGGAUGGGGGAUAUGAAGAAGAAGAAGGAGGUGAAGUUGUAAAUGGGGAAGAUGAAGAAAGGAGCAGGAAGAAUGAGAAAGAUGAACAACUUCUUGAAGCCUUACAGCCGCCUUUGAAUGUAGAGGAAUUAUGGAUUUUAUUAUAUGGAGGCAACAUUUUUCCCAAAUGGUUGACUUCGCUAACCAAUAUAAGGAAUUUAUUUCUUCACAGGUGUCUUAACUGUGAGCAUUUGCCUCCUCUGGGAAAAUUGCCUCUGGAAAAACUCGCCCUGCAAAAUUUGAAUAGUGUAAAAAGAGUGGGUAAUGAGGUUUUGGGAAUAGAGGAAAGUAGUGAUGAUGACCCGUCUUCAUCUUCAUCAUCAUCAUCAGUUAUUGCCUUCCCCAAAUUGAAAUCACUCAAAAUUUGGGACAUGGAAGAAUUGGAAGAGUGGGAUUACACGGUUACGAGGAAGGAAAACAUCUCCAUCAUGCCACGUCUUUCUUCCUUGGAAAUUGAUUGUUGCCCCAAAUUAAAGGUGUUGCCAGAUGACCUUCUUCAAACGUCGACACUGCAGGAAUUGAGUAUUGGGGGAUGUCCUAUUCUAGAAGACUGGCAUAAGAUAUCUCACAUUCCCCACAUCGAGUUUUAAAUUCUCGAACGGUUGCAAUUACUAUAACCCGCCGGUAAUUUCUCCUCCUCCUCUGUUUUGCUUCAUUGUUACUUGUAAUGAAAUUAAUAAUAAUAAUGAUAAUAAUUAAAUUUUGAAUUAAAUUUCUAUAUUUUGCCAAUGUCUCAUAGGAAUGUGCAAUAUUUUCUAAUAUUUUGAUUUUUGUAUUGAAUAUAACUAUUUACUUCAGUGUACGAUAAUUUGUUACGUGAAACUUCUUGAGAGACUGAAUUUCUGGGGUACUUUGUAGUAAUGUUGAAAACUAAGUGAUGGCUGGGUCUGCUCUGUUUCAGUUGAGGAUGGAUUGCUGCCUGGAAGACAUGCUGAUUAUUAUUGCAUGAUAUUAAGGUGCUGAGAUCAUCAUUUCUAUCUUGUUUCUUUCUUUGAACGGUUUAUCCUCUAUAAGCAUAUGGAAUUAUGUUAGUAUUAUCACUUCUUCACCCAAUUUUCACUGUUGGUUGUAAUAACCAUUUCAGGUUCUCAAAAGCUACAAAGCAAAGCAUCUUUGGGCUGAUCAUAUAUUUCAAUUGACGAAGGAAUUCGAUGUUGGCACUAUUAUGCAGGUAACCAGAGUUGAUAAUUUGUACAAAUUUGCAUUGUCAGAAUACCCUUCAUAUUCACCGUGUUUCUUUGUGUAGGUAUGUAGAGUAUCAUCUUCAAGGGUUGUAAGAGCCUUUGCAGUAAAUUUAGCUGCUAGUGCAAUUGCUCAUUCAUCGAAGUACAAUUUUGGAUUUUCAAGGUUUGUAUGCUCAGUUGUAAUUAAAAUGCUUAGUCACUUAUUCCUAAUCUUUCUGAUUUUCAAGUUAUUUUAGGUCCAUAAACAGUUUUCACACAUGUUUCAAUGCUUCUUGUAAUGACAAUUUCAUAUCUUGCAUCUCUAAUGUGCAUCAUGUUUGAAACAGCUUUCGCGGUAAAGUCUUCGAUGCUUGUACAAUGGCUGUGAAGAGGCACACUAAAUUCGGUACAUUUUGGUACGGCCUCCUAAUGCUGGUAUAAUGUUGUGUAUAUUUAGUUUGCAAUUAAAACUUAGGUAUACAAAUCUUAAUCUGCAAUAGAUCAUAGUGUACAAAGUUUCUAUUAAUGAUAUGGUGACUGAAAGUUUAAUUAUCUUAAAAUUUUUCUAUGACUCUCUUUUACUUUCUUUGUACAGAGUACUUGUUUUGGCUGAUGUGUCUAAUUCAUAGAAAUUCAUUUCCAUCGGUUUCCAUUGGUUUGAGCACAAACAGAAACAGAGGUCUGAGGAGAAGUUUCACUUCUUGCGGUAUUAUGCCUUUGUUUCUUUAUUCACCAUAUUUGUUCGAAUUCAUGCCCUCAUUAAGAAUUUAAAGCCUUUUCCAGGCAGCUUUGUAGCCAAAUUUUGAUGCCAUAAAUGCAUGAUUGUCAUUUAGAUUUUCCGAAUAUUUGUUAUUUGGAGAAAUAUUGUUAAAAGGGCAUUUGAUUAGCUACUUACCCUAUGAAUUUAGUUGCCAAUAAUAGAUUGAAAUUGAGUAGGCUAAUGGUUGAGGAAAGUUAUUGUCUUAAUUAAAUUACAGGUGAUAAGAUGUUGCUUGUGUAAUCAGAUAAAUGGGGCAAAUGUCAGAACAAAGAUUGUUCAGUGCUGCUGGUAGGGCAAGGAUGAUGAUGGUGAGGAAGAUUGUUCACAAGCCAAGUAGAGCCCUCCAUUUUGAGAAAUAUCAUCCUCAAAUUUGAAUUGUUGAGCAUAUGAAGUGAUGCUAAAGCCUUAAUAUUAAGUCUUUCUGAAAGUUUCAUUUGAAUGAAUUUUCGGAGAUUGAAUGUUCUUAGCGUGAGUAAGAAAAUUAAGCACAUAUCUGCGAUUUGGAUCGUCGGUGAAUGUUUUCCUUUAAUAUUUGUACAAACCCGUUUCUUAGUAAAAUUUUCUUCAUGUCUUUUACUAUGACAUAGGCUAAUAGCCGUACCACAUAACAUUAUCUUCUUAUUUCUUUAUGCUUGGUUUUGCUACAUAUAAGAAUGCAAUUUUGUAACUACUUAACUCUGCUUCGGCAAAGUUAAGUAGUUACAAAAAUUUUUUUUUUUCGUUUUUCUUUCUCCGAUAAAAUUGCCACAAAUGGAAGCGAUUGGCUUGAUUUUUGCUUCUGUAAAAAGUGGUGGGAGCAAUGUCUUGUGUACCCGCAAGUUAUAAAUCGUCAUAGUUUAAAUGACGAAUCCCGAGUUGCCAUCCAAACUAAAGAAAUUGCAAAUUAAGUAGUUCAUUACAAAUGAUAUAUUUUGAGUUGCUAAUUAUUAAGUAUUUCAUUCAAAAAUGUUCUCGUUCCCACAGUUUCUAAUGUUUAAAGUGCAUCAUUGCUCUACUUCCGUCAUAACAGCAUAAGAGAAUUUAACAUAAUACUGAGAAAAUGAUUAUUUUACCCUAAAUGUAAAUGAUUAUUCUACCCUUAACAUAAAAUAACUAAUUUGCCCUAAUUUAAUAACGAAAAAAAUAGAUGACUGCAAUAUAGAUAUUAAAUAAUAAAUAAAAUAAAAAAUAAGAAUUAAAACUAAAAUAAUUAAAAGAGAGCUCAAGAGAAAACGCACUUUAAUCUGGUACCUGUACCCGUGGAUCGUGGCGAUGGCGGAUUGGGGCUUAUUACCAAGUCGUUUAAGAAUUUUAAACUUUCAAAUUUUUUUUAAACCUUGAAUUUUUUAGUUUAUUGGUUAAGUGAUAAAAUUUGGUGGUAGUUUGAUACUGUGUUGUAUGUUGUGUUAUUUUAGCUCAUUAACUUUGUUAUGUAAUUCUUCUUUAAAUACGACGUCGUUUUUGUCCAUUAAGAGUCCAAUGACAAGUUUAUCAUUCUGACAUGAGUAAAAUUCUAACGGCGUGAUGACAAUAGUGUAGAAAUGAUAGAUUUUGUAAACAUCAGGUGGAAUUGUUAAAAAAAAAAAUGUGGUCGUGUAUUUUUUAUAAAGUCUAAAACAUCAAGUGAUUAGAGAAUAUUUGUGCUUAAGUAUUUGAUUCAAAAAAAUUUCCACUCCUAGACUAUUUAAGUUGUAACCAAAACUGAGAAUUUUUUUUUUUUUUUGCAUGAUGAAUCUCGAUAUUUAGGAUGAAUAUUUUAAUAUUUAAGCUUAAUGGUCACCCACUAUUGGUAGAAGAAUUUUUAUUCUAACACUAUACAAUUUUCGUGUGAGGUGGUCUUGGGCUUAUCUCAACCUUAAAAGUCAAAAGCUAGCUCAAUAAGUGAGAUUUUUUUCUCACACUUAUGAAAUCACCACGAGCUCCUCCCACAACCAAUGUGGGAUAAUCCCAACAAUCUCCCCUCACUCAUCGAGCCUUGGGUUGGAAGCAUAAACAUCAAUUCUCCCUAUUAGAUUGUUGGUUGAGUUGUUGGUGAACCUGAGCUUUGAUACUAAUGUUAGAUGGUCUUGGGCUUCUCUCGACUUCAAAAGCUAGCUCAAAGAGAGAGAUAUUCCCUCACAUUUAUGAGGUCAUUAUCAGCCUCUUCCACAAUCGAUGUCGGCUAACCCGACAUUUCUCUCUCUAUAUAAUACAUAAGUUGGAUAAUAAAUUUAUAUCUCAAUCUAGGUAUAAACAUUAAUUUUAUUUCUUUUUAUCAAUCAUUAUCCUAUUGGGUCUAUCGACUCACCGUACAAAAUGUUGUAAAACUUCCCCGCCGAAGAGACUUUGGUAGCUUUGAGUUUGUAAAUCAAGUUCCUAUCCGUCGUCCCUCCUAAUCCAUUCUUCGGCCAAGUACGCCUGACAUUCUUGUACCUUACAACGUCAUAUUUGGCACAAAAUUCAUGAAACUUAAACCAAACACUAAACUAUUAUUAGUUCUCAACAUUUUAUAUCAUUCGACGUUUUGUGUCAGAAUAAAUAUUUUAUCUUUGAACUUCUCAAGCACUUAUUCAUGGCUUAUUUCUCAACUCACUAUGGAUUAAUGAUGCUGAUGAAAUUGUGGAUUAACCAGACAAUAUUGUAAUUAUUACACAUACACACAAGCACACGUACAUACGUACAAAAGCAUAUAGGAGUUGACCUUGCUCAGGAUUUAAAAAAAAUGAAUAAAAUUUUCCAAUAAUUAAUUAAGAUAAAAAAGAUCAUUAAAACCCGAGUACCCCUCGCAAUUGUGUCACUUGAAUUCUCUGUAUUUAUGCACAUAUAAUAUUUUGAAUGAAUCUAUAAUGAUGUUAAUUUUUUAAUGAACUUAAUCUUAAAUUAAAAUUUUCUUUUGAAAAAAAAGAAGAAAUCUUAAAUAUUAUAAAAUAUAGAUCAGUUGGAAAACUAUUCCUAGAAAUGCAUCUUAGUUUUAUUCUUGGAAAAUGUUUCCUUUCGCACUUGCGAGGAAUUAGAAAUUGAACAAUAAUUUUUAGACUUUUCAUUGUCUUUGUGGUUAUAUGGUUGUCUUUAAUAUAAAUAUAUGAUCCCGGAGGCCAAAUGUCUAAGUCACAUGCAUUUACCUAAUACUUUUUUCUUUUUUCUUUGUUUUUCGGAUAGGGCAAUUAUUUAAUACCUUGAAGAAAGAGAGAUAAAAUAUAAUGCAUGCCAAUUUGUUGCAACAAAGCUUUCAUAUCAAGCGUUGGCAUAAAUUAUUAUGCCAAUUUGUUCAAGACAAUAUCUUUAGUUGGCAUGUAAGUUUCAUUAGCCGGCGUCUACUCUUAAUUUAUGUCAAAUUAAGUAAUCGCUCCGCCCCAAUAAUGUUGCCUUUGAUCUCUCAGCCCCAGUAAAAGAAUUGGCUAAAAGAGAAUGUUGGUCACUGUUUAAGCAAGUAUGCUUUUGGCGGUCCUUUGAGGAUCUUCAAAAUUUAGAACUAAUAACCAAUCAAAUGAAAAAUUGCAUACAAGUGUAAAAGCUUACCCCUUAAUGCAUAGGUAAUAGGAAUUCUCUUGCUCAACAUAUACACCCUUUUCUUUAUAAUCUUUUACUUUUGCUCUUAAGCUAAAGCAUUAAAAGGCCCAAUAUCCACUCUUUAUAUAUAGUAGUUUCUGGUCCGGGAUCAUAAAGUGCGGGAAAUAUUCGGAAAAAUUUUAAAAUCGUGGGGUUUUAAAUGCUUAAAACUUAAAGUGCUUAAACUGAACGGUUAAUAUGUUUUCCUGGACGUUCCCGCAUUUUAAAAUUCCGGACUGUAACAUUUCUCUCUCUCUCUCUCUCUUUAUAUAUAUAUAUAUAUAUAUAUAUAUAUAUAUAUAUAUAGGGAGAAUGCCAAUUUCCCCCCAUAUUGUAAUCAAUUUAUAUCAUUUAUGUCCUACUCUUAUAUAAUAGCCAAUAACUCCUGGAUAGCAUAAUAUAACAAUAUUAUCUUUAAUUUUAAAUACACUUUUAUUUAUAUUUAUUAUAAAUUAAAUAAAACAUGUGAAUGAAAACUAAAAUAAAUAUUAAAUAUUAAAAACAAUAAAUAUAUGUUUUGAUGUGAAUAAAAAAUUAAUAGUAAAAUAUUUUUCUUGUACUUCUUUUAUUUACAAACAUUUUCUAAUAAUACAUAUAUAAGAAAAUUAUUAUAAAAUAAUUAUAAAUUAAUAUAAAUUAAUAAUAAAAUAGUAUAAAAUUAAUAAUAAAAUAUUUUUCUUGUACUUUUGUAUUUUAUAUAUUUAUUAUAAGAAAAUGUUUAUAAAACAAAAAUACAAAAAAAUUUAUUAUUAAUUUUUUUAUUCACAUCAAGACGUAUAUUUCUUGUUUUUAAUAAAUUUUUUUUUUACCAUUCAAUAUGAUUUGUUUAAUGUAUAAUAAAUAUGAAUAAAGGUGUAUUUGAAAAUAAAAAUAAUAUUGUAGGAAACAUUUACCAUUUUCUAAGAGAAGCUUAAGAGUGAGUAAAGGCUUGUUUAAACCAGAUAUUUUGAGCCAUAUAUUUUAAAAUACCUCAAGGCACCCUCAUUGUUAAAUAUGCUAUAUUUCUACUCUUACUUUUUCUUUCCUUUUAUAAUAUUACCCUUGCAACAAUAUUCUAACCUUUUUGAGGAUAUCAAUGAAAGAAAAAAAAUUAAUUUAUCAAAAUUUGCCUUAAAAGUAACAUAAAAAAUUCCACAAAUUUUUAUGUUAUUAUUUUACUUUUAGGAUUAAUUUGGUAAAUUAAUUUUUUAUAAAAUAACUAUUAGUAAAAUUGUUGCAAAUAUAUUAAACAUUUCUUUAAGUUGGAUAAUAUUGAUUUAUUUAUAAAUAAAUUAUUGGCAAUUAGUUCUUUCAUACUGAAAUUUAUUAGUUAAUUUGCUAAUCAAUAAUUAUUGGUUAAUACGCUAAUAAACUUUUAUAGAUAAAUUAAUUAAUGUCAAGAAUAUUAUUGCAAGGUAUUAUUAUAAAAGCAAAUAGAAAGUAAGUGCAAGAAUGUAAUAUAUUUAAUUAUAAAGGUAUUUUGAGAUAUUUUUGAAAUUAUAAGAACUAAACAAGCAUUUACCAGUUGAGAGAAGAUGAAAUGGGAAAAAUUCAAGGGUUAGGAUAUAUGAUGAGUUAAGGAUUAGGUCUUGUAAAAUCUUGAUUUGGGGAGAUGAUUUUGGAGUGUUUCAACCCUAAAUUCAUUUGGGAAGACUCAUUGACGUACACAUUAAAGGUGGAAAGUGUAGAGAGAGAGAGAAGGAGAAAGUGUGUGUUUAGAGUGAGAGAUGUGUAAUUCAAGUAAACAAGUUGGAUACUUGGAUUUCUCACUAAAUAGAGUAAGAUUUCCAUCAUUCUAUCAUUAUUUAUGCUAAAUUUAAUUUAAAGAUUUGUUUAUUUUAUUUAAAUUAAUGUUUCCAACAUAUGGUAAAGUGGUACGAAGAUAAAUUUUGUAAUUUGUGGAUUACUUUAGGUGCACACAGCACCAACAAGGCAUUGUAGAGCCAAAAAGACUUAGCACUUGAUGUUUCUGGUUCGAUAUAUAAAUAGCUAAUAAUUGUGUAUUAUGUUUAUGUAGUUUAUGGUUAGUAAUGAGAUUGGUGGUAAUGUAGCUCUAUAAUUAACUAUUUAUUUCCAAAACUAAGGAACUUCAUAUCGUAUUUUCUUCCAAAACUAAGGAGCUUCAUAUCAUGUAUUUCAUUAAAAAAUAGUCUCACUCUUAGACUUUAUGAGUUGCUGUGAAAAAUAAAUGAUGAUAAAUUUUCAUACAAAUUUAUUUUUAUAAAUUGAUACGACAUUAGUUCAUUGGUUGCAUGAAAUAUAAAAGCAGGUAGCAGUUGGUCCUUUGAGGAUCAUAAAAUUUAGAACCAAUCGGUCUAAAAAUUGCAUGCAAGUGCAAAGGUCUGCUCUUGUUGCAAAGGUAAUAGAGAAUCUCUUAUUCUCUAAAAGAGUAGUAGAAGAAUAGAAAAGAAUUCUAGAUGGUGAUAUGUGGAAGCUAGAAGAGAUAAGGAAAGGUCUUUUGGCUCCUUUAUUGUUGAGUUAUAUUGCUAUGCCAUCCAUGGUAAAAUGAUUUUUCUCAUAUUGUGCUGUCUUUUCAAAAGACUACAACAUGUAUAAAGAGGAACUAAUUACCCUAUGGAUGACUUAAAGUUACCUUAGUAUAACUAAUUACCCGGCGUCGGAGGGUUUACACCGGGAAAACACUCGGCGUGCUCUGACUUGUCUCUGUGUACGCAGGAGUUUGCGGAGAAGAAGCCUUACGAGGAGAGAUCCUGAUCGUGGUCGAGUUGGUUGAGGAGAGAGCUUGGUCGUGGUCGAGCAGGGAACCAAAAUCUCGCAUCAACACAGUUUCUGUUGCAAUUGUAUUGGCCUGGGUUUAGGGAACUGUCAACUUUCAGAAGAAGAUGGAGUUUCUCAAACCAAAUCUAAGAAGAUAUCUCACAUUCCCCACAUGGUCUCAACGCACAGGUAAGUUCUUCUCUAGCUCUGUUUUUCAUUGUUUGUUAUUUUUAAUGUAACUAAGAAGCAGAGUUAAUCUCUUAUCUUGUCCUUGCUUUGAGAAAACCUGCUUUUACAUCUAUUUUUAAUUCACAUGUCCACAGUAAUUUCAUUUUAGUUUGAGCUGAGUGAUAACUGUUCAAGGCUCACUUACUCAUUGGGAGAAGCUGCAUGACGCAGGCUGCAAGGAUUUAGAUUUUCAUUCGAAGGCUCACUUACUCAUAGUGUGCAUGUUUCGUUACGAUUAAAAUGAUUAGUCUCUUGUUCUUAAGUAUACAAUUUCCAAUGGAUUUGAUAGAGCGGUCAUCAACCAUAUUGAUGUUAUUGGAGUAGCACUGUUCUUAAGCACUGCUUUGAGGUCUCUCCCUCUCUAUAUACAUUGAUAGACUAUUCUGGUCGUACCAAAUUAUCCUUGUUUUAUUGUUUUGUUUGUUAAACUUUGACUGGGGGAAUCUGUUUAUUUGUCUGAUAUGAUGUUAGUGUGGUUUCGAUUGAAGUGUGUUGAUCUAUCACCAAGUAUUAUUUCAAUUUUUCUUUACCUAAUCAACUUGCAUACUUUCCAAGUCUAGAUCCUUAACAAUAGUGAGACUCCGCUACAGAAGUACGAUUUCUCUAGUUUUGUAGUUAAAUACGUAAGAAUAGUUUUAAAUUAACAGAACUCUGAGAUAGUUCUCUGAGGAAAUACAAGUGGUGAAUAUGGUUCCAACUUUUAAGUGCCUUAAGAUUCCCAUUUGUUCAGCCCUGUGCGUAAACAAUCAGUAAUUUCUGUCCAAAUUCUUCUUUAAUGCCUAUAUGUGUUGGACUUUGUCUACUGUUCAACUUCUCAAAUGGAUUCCAUGCAGGGUUUUGAAUGUCCAAUUAGGAGAAAGAUCAAGGCUUGCUUGGCUAGGAGUGGAAGCGGAUCCACUACUUCAGUCAGAUGACCUUUUGAAGAAGGCUUACAACAGGCCGUCUCAGGAUGUCAAUGGCUCAACUCAAAAGUCCCCAAAGUGGUUGAUAUCGAAGAAUGCCGUUGUCUCUGGGCUUGGGCUCCUUGGCAUCAAACAAGGGAAUGUCGACUCUGUUGAAGGGGAAGCAAGGGCUCCUAAAGUGCGAAGAAAGAGGAUAGGCCGGAAGAAGGUGACCGCAUAAAUUUCUUGGGAGUUGAUCCUAGUCAAUAGCCCAAUUUUUUUGUCAAAACAUUGGUCCCGAUUCCAGCAAAACAGUAACUUCCAUUCAAAAGGGUUCAGCGUUGAGUGCAUGUAAUCUGCACAAGUUUGACAAAAAAUAACCGAAAAAAAAAAAAGAAACCCACGUCCAAAGAUGCCGUUGAAAAAAGUUAUUGGGUAUUCAUAAUAAAAUAAACAAAUAAAAAAAUGAAUAAAAAUUUAAAUACUUAAUUAAUUUUUAUCAAAUUCUUAUCAAAUAUUUAAAAAAGUAUAUAAAAUGAAUUAAUUGAUGGUAUUAUUAAUUUUCAUGAUGAUUUUUAAUAUUAUAUUAGUGAUUAGUAAGUUUAAUACAAUCAAUAAUGCAAGAAAUUAUUAAAUGGUUAAUUUUAUUGGCAAAUUUUAUCAAAUACGCAAGUAAUGAAAAAUUAAUCUCAAGAGUUAGUAGAAGUAAAGUUCUAAUUUAACCAGAUGAUAGAUAAUAAAUACAAAUAAAUUUUAAGUAAAUCAUAAAUUAAAAAUAAAUAAAUUAAUUAAUAUUAAGUAUAAAUAAAAAAUAAUGACAUAAAUUAAAGUCUCAUAAAUGGAUAACUUUUUUUCUUUAAUCUUAUCCUAAGUCCCAACUAAAGGAAUGUGUAAAUUAGGAUUAUUAAUCCCAUAAUUUUAGGAUUAAACUUAAAUUUAGUCCCUUAGUCCAAUUCAAUUAAGCUUACCAAAUAUGAUAUAAAUAUAUAAUCACAAAAUUAGUCCAAUUCCAUACUUAAUCCUAGUAUUCGAACAUGGCCGGAUAAAAUAGUUUAGAUAAUAUACUUCUAUGGCUCACAAUUUAAAUAAAUUUGAGAAUUUAAAUAAGGGAUGGAAAAUUCACAAUAAUCAUACCAUGUACUGUCUUUUCUUCCUUUUCUUAAUUAAAUAAAAGAAAAAAAAUUAAUGACAGAACCACUGCUGUGUGAUAUCGAUGAAGUCGCAUUCGCCUACCUAAUAUUGCGCAAUCAGAUAGAAAAAAGGGUCGGCUGCAUGAUUUUUCCAACUUUUGUCUUAUUUUUCUCUUUUCCACUACAAAUUAAUUUGAGAAUGUUAUAUUUUCCAAUUCUCUUUUUGUCGUGACAUAAUAGACUAAAGCGGAAUCACAUACUUUUUCAAAUGACCAAAUGGCUUUGGCCUACCUGAUAAUAAAAGGAAUGGAUCCAUACGUUAAAGCUAAAUUGAAAAAUAUAAUAAAUAAAUUGUCAGGAGAUGAUUUUAUCAAAAAUUUCACUCGCACGGUCCCGACCAAAUACAAAUUUGUGAUGAUAUUCAUAAUGAAUUUAUACCAUUAGGCGAAAUUACUCUAUAUAGUUUCAUCGAUAUAUAUUAUACCAUUACAAAUAUACUAAUAUUUAUAAUAAAAAAAAUUUAUGACUAUUUUAAAUCGACUGUAUUAUAUGUGAAUUCACAAGAUUCAUAGAUAGAUUGCACUGAGCUUUUUGUUGCAGUUUACAAAUAUUUUGUUACUAAUUAUCUUAAGAGCAGCAAGUAACUAAAUACAAAUGUAAGAAAUUUCACAAGUGCUGAUGCUGUGUACUCUGCAGAAUUAAUAAUGGAUUAUUAUGAAUCAGAGAAACAGGGCAGACGCUGUACAAUUAUUGACGUGGUGGAGCAGAAAGCUAGCCCCACAUGGUGACUCCUUUAAUUUGCAGCACAAAAGAACGUUCACAUUGACAUUGACUCGAGGGUAAAAAGAAUGCAAACAUGCUUGAAUGAACAUUCUCACAGAAUACAUAAAAGCAAGAAAAGCAAUUGCAGCAUUUUCCAUUUGAUCUAAUAUCAGAAUGGCUCUUGCGAUCGUUUGCGCUCUCUUGGACCAGCUGAAUUCCAUUGCUCAAGAAAAGUGGAGGCUUUUGACGGGUGUCGAACAAGAAGUGGGAAAGCUUACUACCAAUCUUCAAGCCAUUCAAGCUGUGCUGGAAGAUGCAGAGCAGAGGCAAAUGAAGCAGGACAGAGCUGUUACUCUUUGGCUGGAUCAGCUCAGAGACGCAUCCUACGACAUGGAAGAUGUGUUGGAUAAGUGGAUCACUGAAACACGGAAAUCGCAGCUUGAUGAGGGCGGCGAUGAUGAAGAUGAUGAUAACGACAAUGCUUUUGUUACUCUUUUGACGAAGGUAUGUUCCUUCUUUCCUGCUGCCUCAAACUGCUUUGGUUGUUUCAAACAACUCAGUCUUCGUCAUCAUAUUACUGUCAAGAUUAGAGAAAUCAGUAAAAGGCUAGAUGAUAUUGCCAGACAAAAAGAUAGUUUCAAAUUUGUUGAGAAUGUGAGUAACAAUGUUAAGAAACCAGAGCGAGUGCGAACCACCUCCUUGAUUGAUAAGGGAGAGGUUUUUGGUAGAGUUGAUGAGAAAAAUGAGCUCUUAAGCAAGUUGUUGUGUGACAGUAGUGAACAACACCCUCAUAUCAUCUCAUUGGUUGGGUUCGGGGGUAUAGGCAAAACCACUCUUGCACAACUAGCCUAUAAUGAUGAUGAGGUGAAAAUAAAUUUUGAAAAAGUUAUAUGGGCGUGUGUAUCAGACACUUUUGAGGAGAUUAGGGUCGCCAAAGCAAUCAUUGAAGGUCUAGGCGAGUCAAAAAAAGCUUCUGGUUUAAGCGAAUUCCAAUCUCUUAUGAGCCAUAUCCAUAGAUCAAUUGGGGGAAAAAAAUUUUUUCUUGUCUUAGAUGAUGUAUGGGAUGGGGAUUCCAAUAAAUGGGAUCCAUUCUUCUUUUGUCUAAAGAAUGGUCUCCACGGAAGUAAAAUUUUGGUUACCACACGUAAUGAGUCAAUUGCACGUAUGAUGGGAACAACAGAGUCAGAUACUAUCUCCAUUGAACAACUGGCUGAAGAGGAAUGCUGGUUGUUUUCCAAGCAGUUAGCAUUUUUCGGUCGCUGUUUCGAGGAUUGUGAAAGAUUAGAACCAAUCGGGCGAAAAAUUGCACGCAAGUGCAAAGGCCUGCCUCUUGCUGCAAAGGUAAUAGGGAAUCUCUUGCGCUCUAAAAUUACAGUAAAAGAGUGGCAAAGAAUGUUAGAUAGUGAAAUGUGGAAAUUAGAAGAGAUUGGGCAAGGUCUUUUGGCUCCUUUGUUGUUGAGUUAUAACGAUUUGCCCUCCAAUUCGAUGGUAAAACGGUGUUUCUCAUAUUGUGUUGUCUUUCCAAAUGACUACAGUAUGAAUAAAGAAGAAUUGAUUAGUCUGUGGAUGGCUCAAGGCUACUUUAACGCAGAAGAAGACGAAGAAAUGGAGAUGAUUGGAGAAGAGUAUUUCAACAUAUUAGCAGCACGCUCUUUCUUUCAAGAGUUUAAAAAAGAUUAUUUCAAUGGUGAUUUUAUGUGGUGUAAGAUGCAUGACAUAGUACAUGAUUUUGCCCAAUUUAUAAGUAGAAAAGUAUGUCUGUGGCUAGAAAUUGAUGGUACCAAAGAAUCAGUCAUAAACUCUUUUGGUGACAAAGUCCGUCACUUAGGGUUAAAUUUUCAAGGAGGAGCUUCAUUUCCUAUGUCCAUUCAUGGACUUAAUAGAUUGCGUACCCUCUUAAUUUAUGAUAGAAGUCAUUUCAUUCCAUCUCUUAGUAGUAGCAUCCUUUCGGAGUUAUUUAAUAAAUUGGUGUGUUUAAGGGCAUUAGUUAUAAGGCAAUUUAACCUUUAAGUUUGCAUCCUGUGCCAGAUAGGAUUAGAGAAAUUCCAGAAAAUGUUGGAAAAUUGAUACAUUUAAAAUAUCUUAAUUUGAAUGGACUAUGUAUAAAGAGACUACCUGAGACUUUGUGUGAAUUAUAUAAUUUACAAAAGCUAGAUAUUAGGUGGUGCCGAAAUCUUAGAGAAUUGCCUGCGGGGAUUGGGAAGUUAAUGAACAUGAGGAGUUUACUGAAUUACGACACUCGUUCGUUGAAAUACAUGCCAAUAGGGAUUUCCAGAUUGACCAGCCUUCGAACAUUAGAAAAGUUUGUUGUGGGUGGAGGUGUUGAUGGCGGCAGCACGUGUAGGCUUGAAUCUUUGAAAAAUCUUCAACUCCUUCGUGAAUGUCGAGUAGAAGGGCUGAGUAAUGUAUCGCAUGUAGAUGAGGCUGAGAGGUUACAACUUUACAAUAAGAAAAACCUCCUUCGUUUGAAUCUCAAGUUUGGUAUAGCCGUAGAUGGGGAAGGCGAAGAAGGGAGGAGGAAGAAUGAGAAAGAUAAACAACUUCUUGAAGCCUUACAACCGCCUUUGAAUGUAGAGGAAUUACGGAUUUUGUCCUACGGAGGCAACAUGUUUCCCAAAUGGUUGACUUUGCUAACCAAUCGAAGGGAACUAAGGAUUGAUUUUUGUGAAAAUUUGCAAGAACUGCCAAUUCUAGAAGAUUGCAGGACAACAGACAUACCGCAUCUUUCUUUCUUGAUUAUUCAGAAUUGCCCCAAAUUAAAGGUGCUGCCGGAUUACCUUCUUCGGACGACGACGCUGCAGAAAUUGACAAUUUGGCGAUGUCCCCUUUUGGAAAACCGUUAUAGAGAGGGGAAAGGAGUAGACUGGCAUAAGAUAUCUCACAUUCCCCACAUCAAGUUGUCGCUGUGGAUGCCGUAAGAUAUCACUGGACGGUAAUUUCUCCUCCUCUGAUAUACUUCGUUGUUGCUUGCAAUGAAAUUAAUAAAAAUAAUUAUAUUUUGAAUUAAAAUUCUAUAUAGAAUCAAUCUUGGUAUAAAUAUGUAAAACUUCCUAGUUAUCAAAUCUGUUAGACUUGUUUUCUAUAUUUAUUUACUUUAAAAAAAUAUGUGCUCUUUUGUAAAAUUUGAUACAACAUCAUAGAAAAUCCCAAUGUAAUUUAUUUUUUAAUGUACGAAAAUUUGUUAUGUGUGACGUCCUGAGUGACAAAAUCUCCUUGAUACAUUUGCAGUAAUGUCGAAAACUAAAUUAUCAAUUUUAUCUUGUAUAAUGAUAAUCUUAUUUUUUUAUAUAUAAUUUACGUGACAUUAAUUCUUUAAAGUAAUUGUGUAAUUGUUUUUACUACAUUAGCCCACUUUGUUUUUUUUCAUACUUGUUUAAUUAUGUUCACCAGGGAUUCGAGGAAAUGUCAGAACUACACUAGCAAUUCACAGGUCCAAGCUAAUUUGGUUUUAAUGAUGCAGGCAGGAGAGCAAGACUAUGAAAAUGAAAAGUUUAGCCAAAGGAUUGCUAAAAUGUUCUGCUGGUAAUUCCCUUGCUUUAUUUUAUAGAAUUUCAUUUCUAUCUUCUUCUAUUGAUAUCUUGUUGUGAAUAAACAAGAACAGAGAGUAAAUGAUUGAACCACAGAGAAGUAAAGUAAUAUCAAAAUUCGCUAUUAUGAUGAUUUUAAAGCAAGCUCAAGCUCAAGCUUGCAUUUUUAUUUUAUUUUAUUUAUAGAACUUCCAUUUCCACCUGCAUUUCAUUUUUAUUAGACUCUAUGGAGCACAUUGGGGUAACCAAGGAUUAUCACUGUCGUUAUUGUGCAACGUUGGGUUGCUGGACUUUGAAGAAGGAAGCGAUGGCCGGGUCUGCUCUGUUUCAAUUGAGGAUGGAUAGCUGCCUGAAAGACAUGAUGAUUAUUAUUGCAUGAUGUUAAGGUGCUGAGAUCAUCAUUUCUAUCUUGUUUCAUUCUUGGAAUCGUUUAUCAUAUGCGUCAAUGGAGGCAGGUAUUUGGUGUUGACACUAUUAUGCAGGUAACCACACUUGAUAAUUUGCACAAAUUUGCGUUGUCAGAAUACCCUUUAAUAUUCAUUGUGUUUCUUUGUGUUAUCAGGUUAUCAUCUCCAAGGGUUUGAAAGAGCCUUUGCAGUUGUCAGAAUACCCUUUAAUAUUCAAUUAGGUACGUUUUGGUGCGGUCUCCCAAUGCUAAUAUCAUAUUUUGUAUAGCAAUUAAAAUUUAGCUAUACAAUUUUAAUAUGCAAUAAAUCAUUGUAUACAAAGUUUUUUAUUAAUUAUAUGGUGACUGAAAUUUUAAUUAUCAUAUCAAUUUAAAUUUUUUUGUAACUCUCUUUUACUUUGCUUGUACAGAGUACCUGUUUUGGCUGAUAUGUCUAAUUCGUAGAAAUUUAUUUCCAUCGGUUUCCAUUGGCUUUAGCACAAACAGAAACAGAGCUCUGGGGAAAAGUUUGACUUCUUGUGGUAUUAUGCCUUUGUUUCUUCAUUCAUCAUAUUUUUCGAAUUCAUGCUCUCAUUCAGAGGGUAAAGCCUUUUCAUGGCUGCUUUGUAGCCAAACUUUGACGCCAUUGAUGCAUGACUGUCAUUUAGAUUUUCCAAUAACGGUUAGAUUGGAGAAGAAUAAGAAGAUAUUGUUAAAAGGGUAUUUAAUUAGCGCCGUCUGAAUUUAGUUGCCAAUAAUGCAUUGAAAUAGUUGGGGAAAGUUAUUGUCUUAAUUAAAUUACAGGUGAUAAGAUGCUGCCUCAAUUUUGUAAGCAUCUCGUAUUGAGAAGAUUAAUUGUUGACAAGCCAAAUUUUAGGCAAAUUUUACCGUGAUUCUUGACAUCAUGGUAACACAGGUCAAAUUUUAGUAUCAAGACAUAUCUUCUUCUUUACUGUUCUGCCUCUAAAUAUUAAACUUUAGGCAAGUUGUUUUUGUUUGUGUAAGUUAUCAGGUUAAGGAUACCAAGCAGCUUAAUUGUUCACCACACCUGGUAGGAAUGAUCGCCAGGAAGAUUAAUUGUUGACAAGCCAAUUUUAUCAGUGUUAGAUUUUUUGCCUCCCUUUGAGAGAUAUCAUCAUCAAAUUUGUGUAGAGAAUCUUUGAAGAGAAUUUUGUUGUGAGAGUUUCACUGUAGUGAAUUUUGGGAGCUUGAACUCACUUGAGUGAGAUAAUAGAGUGUAUUGGGGAUUUGGGUUAUGAGUAAUCGUUAUCCUUCCAAUAUUUGCAAGCUCUUACUUGUUAGUAAAAUCAUCUUCGUAUAUUGACUCUGUUUCUUUGUUCCUUAUUUAAUUAGUUUCGAUUAUCAUAAUUAGUCACUCAUUCUGAAUUUUUCUAAUUUUAAAGUUCCUUAGGUCCGCCACCAGUUUUUCAAGUCUGCAUAUGGCUGCAAAAGAUCGAUGGUCAUAAAAUUAUCUUGAGCCUUGAGGCAUUGCGUUCGAGCUCACACUGUAACAGAGAUAAAGAUAAAGAAGACAGUAGAAGAUGCUCUAAACAUAACAAAAGUAUAUUUCUACGUCUUGUGGUUGCUUUAAUUUACUUUUGUUUCUUCUGUCAUCAUAUUUGAUUAAUUCGUUCGAAUUCACACUCUCACAUUAUUUAAAACUAUUUGUAGGUGGCUUGCAAGCUAGUUACGUUAAUGCAAAAACAAUACUCUAGACAAAGAUGAGCAAAUUAAAGGUGAUAAAUGCAAAUUGAAUGUCCAUGAAUAAUUGUUAGGCCGGUGCUGAUAAAUUGCUUCAAAGCAAGCAGCAUCUUCUGCUGCGAAGGCUUUCCCCACAUGAUAUGUUGUGAUUGUUACCGGCCCCGUAUUUAUUAACUCAGGUCAGUAUUAUCUUCUUCAUCAUUUUGGCUAUAUAUAAAGAUUAAAAUUUUGAACACUUGUCUCGGUUUCUUGUGUAAUCAGGCUAAUAGAGCAAAUGUUUACUGUCUAAGCACUAAUGCGACAAUCCCAUCUGUAAAUUUGGGCCAUCUUUGAUGUCUGACAGGUAAGCUGUGACAAUCCCAUCUGUAAGUACUAAUGCGCUUGGUUAUAGUGCUUUCAUUGGACUAUAUGCAAACAUGAGAUAUCAACUAUUGUGUGGAUUUGAUAGAGCGGUCACCAACCAUUUUGAUGUUAUUGGAGUAGCACUGUUCUUAAGCACGGCUUUGAGGUCUCUCCGUCUCUCUUUUACGUAUUUGUCUAUUGAUCGACAUCUCUAUAUAUACAUUGAUAGACCAAAUUACUCUUGCUUUAAUGUUAAUGUGGUUCCUAUAAAAGUGUAUAUAAAUCUAUCACCUCAAAGUCUGAUUUCAAUUUUCCUUUACUUAAUCAACUAGCAUCCUUUCCAAGUCCAGAUACUUACCAAUAGUGAGACUUUGCUACGGAAGUACAAUUUCUCUUGUUUUAUAGUUAAGUAUGUAAGAAUAGUUUCAAAUUUACAAAUUUCUGAUAUAGUUCUCUACGGAAAUGCGAGUGGUGAAUAUGGUUCCAACUUUUAAUAGGCUUAAUUGGCCCAUUUGUUCAGCCACAGUGAUUGCGGUCUGAAUUCUUCUUUACUGUCUCUAUGUGUUGGAGUUUGUCUAUUGUCCAACUUCUCCAAUGGAUUCCAUGCAGGGUUUUGAAUGUCUAAUUAGGAGAAAUCAACGGAUGACCUUUUGAAGAAGGCUUACACAACAGGCCAUCUCAGGAUGUCAUGGCUCAGCUCAAAAGUCCCCAGGUGGUUGAUACCAAAGAGUGCCAUUGUUUCUGGGCUUGGGCUCCUUGGCGUCAAACAAGAUAAUGGGAAAUAGGGGCAACUAAAGCGCGAAGAAAGAGGAUGGUCUGGAGGAAGGUGUCUGCAUAAAUUUGUUGGAGUUGAUGUAGUCAAUUGCCCAAUUUUGCUGCCUGUCGAAGAGACACAGCAUGGAAGUCCUCAUCAAACUCUGAGACACCUAAGAAAUAGUAUGAGGUGGUGGUAUUCCCCUGGUGUUAAUUUCCUGGCAAGUGUGGUUCACAGAUAGAGGGAUUCUUUUCUUGAUGUCUAAAUACCAAAUGUGAUGCAACGUCGUAUAUUCUAAGAUAUUAAAUUCUAUUUCAGAUUUCUCAUAUAGUGUCGUUGUCACUUCUGUGGUACACUUUUGAUCGCAAAUUUCCAUUUGAAGUAGCCGAUAUUCUUUACAGACUAAUUAUCUAAUGAUUAUUUUGUACAAAAAAAAUCAAAACUUUAAUUAUUUGAUCAUACUCAACUUAGGUCUUAUUCGAUAUUACUAGUUGUUAAUGUGUAAUAAAUGUAUGACUUUUAAAUAAUAAUUUUAAUAAAAAUAAUAAAGAUAUUAUAAGUUUUUUUUUAUAAUAAAGUAUGAGAUCAAAUCAAAUUAAUUUUGAAGUCACAAUAGCAAAUGUUUACCAAAACUAUUUAAUUAUAUGACUUAAAAGAUAUAGUUGUCCAAUCCCAACAAUAUAUAUAAAGAUUUACCAAACUUUACCCGACUUUAGUUGUACCCACUUGAUUAUGUAAGUCCAUUCUCCACGCGCUUGACCAUAUGAGAUGUUACUCAACUUUAACAAAUCUUACUUAAACUUUGCACGUUUGACAUGUUGGAUGAAAUAUAGCAUAUGAUGUGAUAGAAUACAAUAGGAAUGGUUGUAACAAGAUUAUAAUUAGUACUAGUUUGUAUUUUAUGUGAUGUAGAACGCAUUAUAUUACAACUUUUAGUGUUAUACUAAUUAAAAAUUUGAAUUAUUUUAUUAUUGUAAAAAUUUAAUAUCUUAAAUAACAGUUAUUUUAAUUAAGUAUUUUUGUUGCAAUGAAUUAUACUUUUUUAAAUAUAAUUGAAAAUUCUUAUUACUAAACUAAUAAAAAAUUAAUUAUUUGAGUUAUCUCCUAAACUACUUAGCUUACGAGAUAAAUUCACUUUGUUUAGAAUGAAACGGAUUACAUUUAGUACUAUUUUGUAUUUUAUGUGACGUAGUGUAUGAUUCAAUUAUAUUACAAAUUUUAUUGUAAUAAAAAAAUUUUGAAUUAUUUUAUUAUUGUAAAAAUACAAUAUCUUAAAUAACAAUUAUUUUUAUUAAGUAUUUUUUAAUGAUUUAAAAUAUAAUUGUAAAUUCUUAUUAUUAAACUAAUAAAAAAUUAAUUAUUUGAGUCAUCUCCUAAACUACUUAUUUCACGAGAUAAUUUCACUUAGUUUAGGAUGAAACGGUGGGUUAUUUUUAUGUGGGAGCCACAUCCUUUCCAUAUGAGAUGUUACUCAACUUUAACAAAACUUACUCAAACUUUGCACGUUUGGCAUGCCGGAUGGAAUAUGAUAGUAUAUGAUGUGAUAGAAUAUUAUAUGAUUAGAUGUAAUAGGAUUAUAUUUGGUCUUGUUUUAUAUUUUAUGUGAUCUAGUAUAUGAAUGGAUUAUAUUACAAAUUUUAUUGUUAUAAUAAUUAAAAUUUUGAAUUAUUUUAUUAUUGAAAAAAUAAAUAACAGUUAUUUUGAUUAAGUUUUUUUUUUCUGUUGAAUUAUAGUUUUAAAAUAUAAUCCAAAAUUUUUAUUACUAAACUAAUAAAAAAUUAAUUAUUUGAGUUAUGUCCUAAACCAACUUAGCUCACGAGAUAAAUUCACUUAUUUUAGAACGAAACGGCGGGUUUUAUGUGGGAAGCCACAUCCUUUCCAUAUCAACCUCAACAUCCAAACAUGAAAUUGGACUAAGAAUAGUUCUUUCCCAUGUAUUUACGUACCCUCCUGCCACUAAACGUAAUUGUAUAUUUUGGACCUUAUUUGACUUGAUUUUAUUAACUUAAUUUUCUCCAAUUUCCAUUGUCGACGUUGAGUGCAUGUAAUUAAUCCACAAGUUUUGAUUGAGCAGAAAUAGCCAAAAAAAACUGAUGAUAUGAUAAUAGCAAAAAAUCUAAUGACACCCACGUCCAAAGAUGCCGUUGUCACAAAGGCCUGGACGCCAUACCUCGAACCCAUCCCCUUUUACCAUGAGUGAUGAUACAGCCACAAACUCUUAUACAAACUUAUUUUAUACAAACUAAUGUGACAUCAAUUCAAUGGUUGAAUGAAAAUAUAAAAUAAUGAAAGUAAAUCAUGUGGGCCAAGAGAUAUUUAAUUUAACCAAUAAAUUGACGCCACAUAAGUUUGUACAAAAUAAAUUUGUAUAAGAGUUUGUGGCUGUAUUACUGUAUUAUUACUCUUUUACCAUAUUUUAUAAUUAAAGAGGUCAUUGUUUGAAAGAAAAGAAUGACAUGUUGGUAUGAAAUUACGUUAAAAUGAAUAUAUCACUUUUUUUUUUGUGUGAGUGAUGGCUUCGUUUAAUGACAAUUGGCAGACAAUGAAUCAUCUUUUAAUUUUAGUUUUGAUUUAAUAAAAAAUAUUAAUUUUUGUAGUUUCGGUAGAUGAAAUUUCGAAUCAAAUAUUAAUAUCGUUAAAGUACGCAACUCAAUAUUUACUUAAAUCAGAAAAAAGAUUAAUUGCUUUACAUGAAAAAGAAAAGAAAAGAAAAGAGUGAUCACUUGAUUUAACUUCCUUUACUAAAUUUACGAUUUAAAAUCUAAAAUGGAAAAAGGAAAACAAGUUUUGGAAACACACUCGGAGUUUUAAAUUGAUAUGAAAAAAGAGUUUAUUAUUGACAAUCUUUUUCCCAAAAUUUAAGCUAAGACAACAAUAUGUCCAAAAUACCCUCCACAUUAUCCCAAAACUUUAUAAACUCCCCCGUUCCUCUCAACAUCAUCUCUUCCAAAUCUUUCUUCCCCCCAAAAACCAGCCAUGGCUUCAUAUUCAAUUACCUCAACACUCCAAUAUUGGCUUGUAAACCACCCCCAAAUCCUCAACUUCACAUGGACUCCGAACCAAACACUAGCUUCCUCCCCACACUUCCUCAUUCUCUCCAUCCUCACUUACCUCUCCCUCACAUUCAUCCUCUACCACGCAUCAACAUCAACAUCACCACCUCUCAUUGGACCCCACAUCCUCAAGCCCAUCACAGCCGUCCAUAACCUCACCCUCUUCGUCCUCUCCCUCAUCAUGGCCGUUGGUUGCACUCUCUCCAUCAUCCUCCAUUUACCCUACCUCCGUUACACCCUUUGUUUCCCCACUACCAUUUCUCCGUCUGGCCCUCUCUUCUUCUACGCUUACAUCUUCUACCUCUCCAAAAUACUCGAAUUCUUUGACACCCUUUUGAUCAUUUUAUCAAACUCCAUCCAACGGCUCACGUUCCUCCACGUCUACCACCAUCAACCGUCGUUGUAAUGUGCUUCCUUUGGUUACAGACGAAGCAGUCUUUGUUUCCUAUUGCAAUUGUCACCAAUGCAAGUGUGCAUGUGAUCAUGUACGGGUACUAUCUAUUGUGUGUGAUGGGGUUGCGGCCAAAGUGGAAGAGAUUGGUCACUGAUUGUCAGAUUCUUCAGUUUGUGUUUGGUUUUGCUGUUUCGGUUUUGAUGCUGUAUUAUCAUUUCACGGGUUUUGGUUGCUCUGGGAUUUGGGGAUGGUGCUUCAACGUUGUGUUUAAUGCGUCCCUUUUGGCACUUUUUGUUAAUUUUUAUUCCAAGAGCUAUGCUAAGAAAAAGAAGCAGGGAUGAUCAAAGUGCUAUGAUUGUUUUGUGUUUUCUUUUUUAAUUUAUUUGAUUUUGGUUAAUUAUGAAUGGUGGUAAUUGGUUGAAUGCAAUUGAAGAGAUGCUUUCAGUUGCCUAAACUUUGUUUUUUCAAUUUUUGUUAUAGAUGUCAUAUGUCACCACAUUUUUUUAGUCUCUCCCUUUAAAAUUCCCUCACACAAACUUCGGAUUUGUAUUUUGUAAACUAGAAUUUUUCAUUUUCGUUAAUGUGUUAGCUGUUAUUAUCUACAAUUAUGUCAUACGACACACAUGUCACAUCAACUAAAAUUAGAUUAUGAAUUUUGGGCACAGGGCCAAGUCCCACCGUUUGGUAGGAAAUAAGUGUUGGAUCAUAAACUUGAUCCAAGAUAAAUAAAUUCAACCUUAACUCAUGGAAGGUUCCAUGAGUAGGUAUGGUUAGUGAGGUUUGAAUUAUUUGUGUUAGGUGUGGUAGGUGUGGUUGGUGAAGUAGGUGAGUGGUAGGUUUUAAUGGAUGGUGAGUAUUUGUGUAUUAGUUGAAUAAAUGAAUGGUUGUGAUUAGUUUGUUUCAUGGAUAAAUACCCCCUCUCCCCUUUGGUUUAAAUAUCAAGUGAAAUAACAAAAUCUCUAAGGUGUAGAGAGUGAAAAAUAAGAGUUGUAAUUAGUGAGGAGUGUUGUUGAAGAAAUAAAAUAGUGUGUUUUAUUUGUUAACUCUCCAACAAAGUGGUAUCAAAGCUAGUGCUUGAUGCUAUAUAUUGUCAUAUAGCAUAUCAAAUCGAAGAUCUCGAUGAGAGGAACGUGACGCCGCAAAAAUCAUCCUGACCAAAGACCAGACGCGCCCAAGCUCGCCGUCAGAAUUUUUCUGUCCUGAAGCUGAGUCGACUCACCGAGUUGAACCAACCUGAGUCGAGCCGAACUGAACCGAAUCAAGUCGAACCAAGCCAACUGGAGUUGAACCAAUCCGGACCGAACCAAGACUACUAAGCCAACGCUGACCGUUGACUGAAAGUUGACUCAAGUUCUUCCCAAGGCUUUUCGACGUGCCGGAUCCAUCUGUGCUUUCAGAAUCUCCAAAUUCUCACUCAAUUUGUGAGUUAUGGAAAACGGUGGUCUGAUGUCAUUUCAAGUUCCACAAUUAAAGAGAAGUAAGUUUGACAAUUGGAGUAUUAAAAUGAAGGCUCUAUUGGGUGCACAUGACGUAUGAGAUAUCAUGGAAAAAAAGCUUUAUUGAGCCAGAAAAUGAAGCCACUUUAACUGCGGCAUAGAAUGAGAAUUUAAAAGACUUGAAGAAGAAAGAGAAUAAAGCAAAGUAUCUCAUCUUUCAAUCAUUAGAUGAAGAUGCCUUUGAAAAGAUUGCUGGUAAAACGUGAGAAACUAGAGACCUCUUACAAAGGAGCGAAGAAAGUUAAGAAGGUUCAUCUCCAAAUAUUCCGAGGAGAAUUUGAGUCCUUACACAUGAAGGCGUCGGAGUCAAUUUCUGAAUACUUUACUUGGGUUGUGACCAUUUCUAAUGAAUUAAAAAGAAAUGGCGAGGAGUUAAAAGAGGUAAGGAUCAUUGAAAAAAUACUUCGAUUAGUAUACUCGAAGUUUGACCAUAUUAUUGUGACAAUUGAGGAAACAAGAGAUCUAGAGGAUAUGACGAUCGAGCAACUUUAAGAAAGGUUGCAAGUCUAUGAAGAAAAACAAAAAAAGAAGCAAGGAAUCGAAGAACAACUUCUCAAGAUGGAGGUCAAUCCAAAGAAAAGAAAAGAAAGCUCCGACAACGGAAGAAGGCAUAUUUAUCUCCCAAGAAAGCUAUACAAAGGAGAUUCUAAAAAAGUUCAAGAUGAAUGAUUGCAAGCCUAUAAGCACGCCAGUGGAAUGUAGAGUCAAGUUAUCUAAACAUGAUGAAGGGGAAGAUAUAGAUCCAACAUUCUUUAAAAGUUUAGUCGGAAGCCUACGUUAUUUGACAUGCACCAGACCAGAUAUCCUUUAUGUUGUUGGACUUGUGAGCCGAUACAUGAAGAAUCCAAAGACCACCCAUUUUAAAGCUGCAAAAAGAAUCCUUUGCUACAUCAAAGGUACAACUAAUUUUAGCUUGUUAUACUCAUUUUCUAAUGACUCCAAGCUUGUUGGAUAUAGCGAUAGCGAUUGGGGUGGAGAUGUAGAUGAUCGAAAGAGCACCACAGGAUUUGUGUUCUUCAUGGGAGAUACUGCUUUCACAUGGAUGUCAAAGAAGAAAACAAUUGUCCUGCUAUGCACCUAUGAAGCUGAAUAUGUAGCUGCCACAUCAAGUGUUGAUAAUAAUUUGGCUCAGAAAUUUGUUGAAGGAAUUAGGUUUGCCACAAAAAGAGCCAACCGAGAUUUGUGUUGAUAACAAAUCAGCAAUUGCCCUAUCCAAGAAUCCAAUCUUUCAUGAUUGAAGCAAACACAUAGACACUUGCUAUCAUUUCAUAAGAGAAUUUAUUACAAGAAAAGAAGUGCAAGUCAAGUAUGUAAAAUCACAAGAUCAAGCAGCUGAUAUCUUCACUAAGCCACUCAAGCAAGAAGACUUCGUAAAAUUCAGAAGUUUGCCUGGUGUCACAGGAUCAAGUUUAAGGGGGGGUGUUGGAUCAUAAACUUGAUCCAAGAUGAAUAAAUUCAAGCCCAACUCAUGGAAGGUUCUAUGAAUAUGUAUGGUUGGUGAGGUUUGAAUUAUUUGUGUUAGGUGUAGUAGGUGUGGUUAGUGAAGUAGGUGAGUGGUAGGUUUUAAUAGAUGGUGAGUAUUUGUGUAUUAGUUGAAUAAAUGAAUGGUUGUGAUUAUUUUUGUUUCAUGUAUAAAUCUCUAAGCUGUAGAGAGUGAAAAAUAAGAGUUGUAAUUAGUGAGGAGUAUUGUUGAAGAAAUAAAAUAAUGUGAUUUUUGUGUGUUUUAUUUGUUAAUUCUCCAACAAUAAGGAGCAUUAAUGAAAUAUGUUUAAUUAAGUAAUAAUUUGUUAUUUUAGAGUGAAAAAUAAGGGUAAAUUGUAUUCUACCCCAUAUUAGAUUGACAAACUUCAAUUUACCCCUUAAAAGUACAAAAACUUCAACUUAUCUCCAAAUACCAUUUUCUUCCCGUUAAAUUUAACUAUCGAAAGUAUAAAAUUAUAGUCUUACAUUCUCUCAACAGUCAACUCAUGGAUAAGAAGUCAAAACAUAUAUAUAAGGUAAUUUCCAUAAAACCCAAUGUAGGGGCGGGCAAUUGUUUGGUUUAGAAGUUAGGAACCGAAUGGUUUGAAAACAAAUGAACUGAUUGGUUUAUAUUUGGUUUACUUUGAACUGACAAACCGAUUGGUUCGCUUAAACUUAAUUAAAAAUACAUUUAUUUUAAAAUAUAAAUGCUUAAAAUAAUUUUUUUUUUCAUUUUUCAGUUUCCUAAUCUAAAAAUGUUUCAUAACCCUAAAUCAGCCGCCAUCUCUCUCAAGGUCGACGGCGGCACAACAAGCUCUCUCGGUCUCUCCCUCGCAAUCUCAUGGUGAUUGAUUUCUCGUGAUGUCUCCACUUUUGUUUCUUGUUCUUGUGUGAUCGAAUUCUCUCUAUACACACAUAGCCUAGCCUCUUGUUUUUUGGCUCAAUGGAGUUUCGUUUCUUUUCUCUCAGUUUCUUUCCUGUUGAAUUCUCGUGAUGUUUCUAUUUUUUUCUUUUUUUUUAGACAUGUUUUCGAAAUUGGCAUAAUACGAACCAAACCUGAACUGAAUUUCAAAAUCAAAUCGAAUUGAACCAAACUGAAAUUUUUAUGUUCGGUUUGGUUCGAUUAAAAAAUUUGGUAUGCGUUCGGUUCUCUUUCUUACGAACCAUUGGGUUUUAGUUCGGUUCGGUUUUGGUCUAGAAAAGAACUAACUAGAACCGAACCAAACCAAACCAAACCAAACCAUUUACUGGCCACCUUGCUCAUAUGUUUCAACAAAUUUCAAUGCACACUUAAACAUUUCAAUAAAAUUCGCUUUGUACCCAAAUUGAUAAUUUUUACUUUUUAAUUAGUUAAUUGUUAACUGCAGAAGUAUAAAAAAUUAUUUCUUUUUAAAAUAAGAAAAAUAAUUUUUUUCUAACUUUUUUCCUUUUUUAUUUUCUAGUUAAUUUCUUUAUCUGGUUCGGUUCAUUUUUCCCUUUUUUAUUUCUUACUGUUUUCCGCAUGUUCUCCACGCUUGAACUUUGCCAAGCAUCAUAAGGCCACAGUAGCCAUGCCAGCAACUUGCAACUAGGGGUGGGCAAAAAAACCGUAGUCUUAAAAAAACCGAACCGAACCGACGGUUUUUUCUAAUUCGGUUCGGUUUUUAUUUUUUUAAAAAACCGAAUAUACCGUUUGUAAAAAAAACCGAAAUGUCGGUUCGGUAUUCGGUUCACUUAGCUGAACCGAAAAACCGAACCGAAAAACCGAAUUAUUUUUUGAUUUUAUUCAAAUCAAACAUGUGUUAAUAAUUUUAUUCAAAUCAAACAUGUGUUAUUUCUCUUUAUAACAUUAUGAUUAUGUUUAUAUAGAUGGAGUAUUGGAGUUUGGUUAUAUAUUUUGAAAUUUUAAUAUUUCAUAUAUUUGGGAGUAUCUUAUUAAUAGUUAGUAAGAUAUUAGUGAUAAAAUGUGUUUUGAAUACUUUGUAUUUAUUGUUAAUAUUUGUAAUAAAAUUAGGAUAAAUUAAUUGUUGAAAAAAAUUAUUACAUUUAUGAGGCCCAAUGGGCUAAAAAUUUUAAAAUUCAAAAUAGGCCUAAUAGGCCCAGAACCGAAAAAACCGAACCGAACCAAACCGAUCUGAAAAGAACCGUUUGAGUUCGGUUCUUAUUGAGUUUGGUUCUUAUUCGGUUCUUUUUAUAAAAUAACCGAUUUAAAUCGGUUCUACUUAAUUUCGAACCGAACCGAACCGAACCGAACCGAACCGUGCCCACCCCUACUUGCAACAAAGUUUAGAGCUGCGCGAUGGUUGCAGCAACGUUAACGCCGCUAUUCCAAGUCUUGGCCCAUCAUCUCCUUUUCAACAAAUCUUAGCUUCUUCCCAAAUUCAUCAAUGAACCCCAAAACCAGAAUAAUCAUUAAAAUUAUUAACAACCAUUUGCUUGGAUCAAUGUAUGCUUGGCAUGUCUAUGGGCUUACUUGGAAUGGUCGCUGAUGGCCAUGGGCUUGCUUGGAUUGGCCGCGCACAGCCAUGGGCUUGCUUGGAAUGCCGGUACCCGUUUGCCACGGUUUUGCUAGCGUAUCCAUGGGUUUUGUUGGACAUGGCAGUGCGAGGCCAUGGGUGUUGCCGGACAAUGGACAUGGGUUUUGCUGGGCUGAUUAGGAAUUAACAGAGGCUAUGGAGUUGUUCAGUGUGUGAAAGAGAAAAAAACAUGAACGAAGAAGAAUAUGAACAGGGAAUAGAACGAAGAAGAUGAAGAAAGUAGAAGAGAGGGAAAAAAUAUUUUGCUUUUUUAUAAAUUUUCGGAUUUUUAUUUCAAAAUUUAUAAUUUUUGUUUAAAUUUGAGAAUCUUAAGGGUAAGAUUUUCUUUGUAACUAUGUGUAGAAGGAGGUUUUCAGAUGGUUUUUGGUUGGGUUAACAUGAAAUAUGCUUGUUUUAUGAAAUAUUAUUAUUGAGGUUUUGUUUUAUUUUCUAAAAAAUAGAUUAGAGGAUGAUUUUCAUUAAUGACACCCAUAAAGUUUGAAUUAGUUAUAUUAUAGAAAUAGUAGGGAUUUAAAUGAUAUAUCUUUUCAACAUAAAUAUAUCAGUAACAUAAGUUAUUCUAUAAUUAACAGGGUAUUAUCGUAUUUUAGUGAGUCAUUAUUGGUUGAUAGUUAUAUUUAACAGAUUUUAGACAGUAAAUUGAAGUUUAUUUUUUUUAUUUUUGAGUAAAUUAAAAUAUGUCAAUCUCAUAAGGGGUUAAAAUAUAAUUUAUCCAAAAAUUAGUGUUAAAAUUUUAUAGAUGAGUGUAUAUUAAGAUGUUCAAAGUAUUAGAACAUAAAUAAUCUUAGUUUUAAUAAAAUUUUGCCACAUAGUGAAUAUUAUCCUCAACCUCAAGAGAAACAUAUCAAUAAAAUAUACAAAAAUAGAAUGCAUUAGUACAUGUCAAUAACAAGACCAAUUAGAUCAUGUCAUAUUUGUUAUGUAGUUAUUUAAGCUAAUAGAGUAAGAAGUCCCAAAUACAUGUACAUCAUAUCUUGGUGAAGAAAUCGGUUCUACCCGAAAUACUUCUUCGUAUUGAAAUCAAUGAUGAUUGCUUGUUUAAAUAAUGAAAGUUAAAAUAAUUUUGUAAAUAAUUUCAUUCUUUAAUUUACGGUAUACAAAUAAAUUCAAAAAAUGUUAAUUUCUCUCAUACUUUUAGGACCCAAAAAAUAACAAAAAGUCUUAACAUAUUUAAUGGUUAUAUAUAAAUCAUCCGUACGUAUUUUUCUUGAGAGAAGCUCAAUUCGAUAGACAAUGCUCCCCUUAAUUUUCUUUUCUAAUUAGAUAAAAGAACAAGAGAAAUUGAUUACAAGAAUAACAAACUUUAAUUUACUUCUUAAAGGGUAAAAACCUUAAUUUACUUCUUAAAGGGUAAAAACCUCAAUUUGUCCUUAUAUUUGUUCAAAAGAUACAUUUUGUCUUCUUAAUAUAAACAAGUUAAAUUGAUGUUUCACAUCUUUUAGAAAUAAAUUAAAGAUUGUUAUUUUAAGUAGGAGGUAAAUUUCAAAUAAAACAUGUGUUCAUAUGAUAGAUGUGCAUUUUACAAUAAUUAAUAAACAAAAGGGUAGUGAUAUUUUCAACCUGUAAUUUUUGUAAAUCCACCCCCACUCCCAAGAAAUAAUUACAAUAAAUUCACAUAACUUUUUUAAAACUCAAAUAAAGAAAAAUUUUGGAGAUUUAAACUAUUGUAUACAAGAGGAUAAGAGUAAAUAUUUUUCAUGCAGUAUAAAAAGAAUGCGACAGCUCCUUUUCUUUCGGUAUUUUCACAACAAAAGCACACUUAAUAACUCAUCAAAUUAUUUCUCCUUUUCUUUGAUCGCUUCCCCUCUCCUGGAGCUGCUGAACUCCUUUGUUGCUGAUGAAGGGAACAAGUGAGGCUUUUCAAAAGAGGGCAAAGAGAUGGUGAUUCGAUUUGAUUCGAUAAUAGUAGUUUAUUUUAAUUGUUAUUCAUUUGAUUUCAUAGAAGUAAUUUUUAUUUUCAUUUUUUUGUUGAAAAUUGGUAAAAACGAACUAAAAUGAGAUAAUUACAUUAAAACAAUCUUCAAUGACUAAAGUAAUUUGAAAAAAUAAAAAUAAAAAUAAACAAGCUCAAAAUUUACCCCUAAUCCGAACAUUAUCCGAAUUCAGCCUAAUUGACCCAAAUCUAAUUGUAAUCCAAACUUGACAUGACCCGCAUAUAAUUAUAACCCGAUCAGAUCCAAACUCGACCUGAAUUUUUAAUUCAAUACGAUCCAAUCCAAAUAUUCCAAUCCCAUCAAAAUGAAACUUGAUUGGGUUGAUCCGAACCCGAAUUUGCCACUUCCGGAGGAGACCAUGACCCUAAAGGCUUUGAAAUAAUCUUUGCGGUUUCUUAAUGAAAUAGUAAAAGUUAUGCGCAAAAAGACUGUUUUGACCCUAGAAUACAUGAUAUAUAAAUUUCAGACAUUAUAUUCUGUGAAAUAAAGUCAAAGUAAACUGGUUGUUUGAUUUUUUAUUAAUUAUUUUCCAUUAUGACAAAAUGACAAAUAGACUUUAUUAAAAGUUUAAUAAAGUUUGGGCCUAACUCCUUGAUUUUUAUUUUUUUUAAUUAUUUUUCAUUUUGUUUUUUACUUGCAACAUUAGCUUUAAUUAUCAAUAGUCUCCAAAUCAAAAUGACUGCAACCUGUAGCUACAAGCAAAAUUCUCAAAUUUUGAAAUUUCUAACGACUACAUAAGAGCUAUAAAUAGAAAAAUCAUCUAAAAUUAAUCCUCCUUCAGAGGCAGAUUAAAUUCUUAGUAAUUUCAUAUAAUUUCAUUUCAUCAGAACAAUUUUCCAAAAGCAAUUUUAUAAAUGGUUGUCGAAAGCUUUAUCCCUUAAUUAUAUGUCACGUAUUUUCUUUGUGAUAUGAGGCGUGUCCAUAGACCAUAGUAUGAUAUUUAUUGUAAUUAAAAUCAUUAUGGAACUGAUUUUAUUCUUGUUUCUCAAACAAAAUAUCUAACUGCAGAUGUAAUAAAUUACUAAUUACCAUUAUUUGAGUCGCACUCUUUGAAUUGGAUCUUGGAGUUUCGAAUGACCAAAUGAAUUAGUGAGAUAAUGGCUUUUGCUUUUGUCUACCUGAUAAUAAAAUUUGUCCACCAUAUAGACAAGAAAUGGAUCGGAUCCAUAUGCUAUAGCUAAAUUGAAAAAUUUAUGUGGAGUUUUAUUGUAAGACAUUUUUAUCUGAAUAGAAAAAAUAAAUUUUUUUUAUUUUUAUCUAAAUGAUAAAAUAUCUGAAUAAAAAAUCAGUUUUCUUCUCACAAAUACCCUCAUUAAAUAUAUUUAUUUUCUACUUAGCUAUUAGAUGUCAUAUUAGAAUUUCCUUUGAUCUCAGAUUUUACUUGGUAUUAAAUACUUAAUCUGCGUUCGAUUCGAAUUUAGACAAAUUCUUUUGUCAUUAGAUAACAACGUUUUUACUGAAUUUGAUGUUCAUACAGAAACAGUCAAGUCCUUGUUGACUGAAAUUGGCAUUUCUCUUGUCUCUGCUCCUAUCAUUUGGUGUGAUAACCAAAGUGCAGCUGCCUUAGCAAGUAAUCCUAAAUUCCAAGAACUUAAAUUUAACUCUAAUAAAAGCUCAAAGUUAGUUAUGUUCCAAGUUCUCAUAAGUCAUAACUCAUCUGAUAUCCUUACUAAAGCUUUAGCUUAUCACCCUUUUCAUUAUCUGAGAGACAAGCUCACCCUGACUUCACUAGGCUGAGCUUGAGGGGAGAUGUUAAGAGUAUAAGCUGAAGCUGCUGAGCUGGCUGGUGACGUGCUGACGGUGUUGAGUUGACUAAUGUUUUGUAACUAAGUUGCUGAGCUGGAUUGGGUUGUUAUUUGCACUGAAUAAGUUGUAACGAAUUGUCCAGCUGGCUUGUUAUGAUUGGAAGGCUAAUUAGUUUGUUAAUAUUGCAGCUUUGAGCUCUGUUUCUGUAAUCAGUUUUGAGUGUAACUAUAAAUAUCACGCUCAUAAUGUAUGAUUUCAGCUUUAAUCAAUAAGAAUCUGUGAUUGUUCCAGAAACUUCAUAGUCAAAUUUUCUUUCUUAAUUUUCUUUCACUUUCUCUCGUGCCAAACACCUUAUUGAUUCAAAUAAAACUCCAUCCAAAGGCUCACGUUCCUCCACGUCUAUCACCAUGCAACCGUCGUCGUAAUGUGCUACCUUUGGUUACAUAGUAACCAUGUUAAAUUGGAUUUUCUAUAUGAUAUUAUCGUUAGCUUCAUUGUUUAAAUAUACCGUUAGUGAAAGAAUCGUUCGUGAUUAGGUACUUUACAACUACAACACGAUAAGCAAUCAAAGUUACAUGAAAGAAUCAGUAAUUAGUAGUUAGGUUAGAGGUGAAACGUGCAUGUUACAGGGAAGUAGAAAACAUGUCAAGUUGUUAUCAUAAAGUGAAUAUCCAAUUUAAGAAGAUAAUAACUGGAUUUUGAAUUCAAUUUCACUCUGUUUUAGUAGUAUGUAUUAUAUCUCACGAAUAUGAUAUCAGUGAAAAAUGUAUAAGUUAUGGGCUUUGAAUUUAUAUUAAUGCAUAUAUACUAGCUAUGAAAAUGACGAAUUCUAAACAGAUUUUGCUAUUUAACAAGUAAUUAAGAGGUCUAGCAAUCAAUUAAUAAAAAAGUAAUUCAAUAUAACAUUGCUACAAAGAAAUUAAACUAUAUAUAACAACUAUUUCAAUGAGACUAAUGAUAAUUAUAUCUAAGGUUUGAUCGAACAAACGGGCAAGAACAGCAAAAGCUAAUCUUAAUUUAGAAAUUUUUAUAAGGGGGGAGGAUUGUAAUAUACGCACUUGGACUUUCUUAAUAAAGUGCUGAUUUUUAUUUUCCUCUUCUCUAUUAAUUUUUAAUUUCGUCACUAUAGUUUAAUUGGGAUAAAUUGAGCUCGAUUAUACGCGCCGAUGGUCGGAUUUUAUUUUCGUAACGGGUCUGAAAUUCGCUUAAUUUGUAUUAAGCUUAAAAAAAAAAAAAAAAAAAAAAAAAAAAAGAGGGGCAGAAUUGUAUAACUGGAAAGAGGGAAACGGGUUUUCCAUUUUAGAGAGAAAGAACCCGAGAAGAGAGAGAAAGAUAGAGAGAGAAGUCAGACCCGUUGACCCGAGAACCCGACCCAGUAACCCGCGGAUUGACCCGACGAUUUCUCCCAACUCCAGCCACUUUACCGGCCGUGCUUGGUACCGAUCUGAAGCUUGGAAGCAGACCAUCGUAUCCCUGCUGUUAUCGUCGCCGGAAACUGGCCAGAACGCCGGUGAUCGAGCUCGAAAAGUCGCGGCUUCGACCCGUUUUCGUUGCCGUUGAUCCCGCCGGAGUUGUGACGCGCCACCACUUGGAACUGGUUCCUCACAUCCCCAGCAACAUUUCCCGACCAGCAACGACCGCCGGGGACGCCCGGAACUCGCCGAAUGAUCUCCGAAAAUUUGCGGAACUUUGGAACUUCGAUCCGCCGCCGGUAGCGCGCGUGGCGACUCACUGCCACCACCGUUGGAUUCAUCGAGGCCGGAACUAGCAGACCUAAGCUCCCCGUCAUCGUUGACUGAAGUCCGGUCACCGUUGACCGGCAGGGGCAAUUCGGUAAAUUCAUGAAACUUUGGGGUGAAUUUGUAAUUUUAUGUAAUCAGUGGACAUUUCGGUAAUUUUAUGCCCUGAGGGUAAUUUCGUAAUUUCGGACAAUGUGAUUAAUUUAUGUAAUCUGAAUUGAGGACAAUAUGGGUAUUAACGAAUAUGAGGAUAAUUUGGUAAAAUCAUGAAGUUUGAGGAUAAGUUGGUAAAAUAUUGAUGUUGGGGUAUUUUGGUAAUUUUGGCCUAUAGGGGCAUUUUGGUAAUUUUAUACAUGCGGGACUAGUUUAUCGUUAAUAGAUAUUUGUUUCGAGAUUUAUUAUAUUAAUUGGUUUUUACGGAGAAUAAUUAUGGUGUUUUCCGUGAUUAGGAGGAUCCGCAUCCGCGAACGAGAAUCUACCCGCGGACGUUGUUGAUACUGAGUCUAGACAUCAUCACUGUGAGUGGAAUAUACAAAACCUAUUUUCAUAGUAUAUGCUGAUUUUCUUAUAUAGUACAGUAUGUUUGAGAAAUAAAUGUUUAAUGCGUUGAUUUAAUGAUUUUCCAGCGAAUUGACUUUUAUUUAUGUGUUGAUAUUUAUUAUGAUUGAGAAUGAGUUCGAUUUAUGAUUUUAUUAGCGUUUUUGAGUAAAAGCAUGAUAUUAGAAUUGAGCAGACUUGAGAUAUGUUGAAUAGAAAGAAAAUGAGAUUUCAGAUGGGAUCAUAUGUUUACUAUCAGUUUUGAAAUCAUUAGACAGUACCCUUCCCUCCAGAUACAGAGAUACAGAUAAAAAGAGAUACAGAUAAGAGAUACAGAUAAGAUGAGAUAGAGGCCUUUGGGGCCCGUCGGGACACACAUAGAGGCUUUGGGCCGUGUGUUCGGGCGCUUUUGCCUUUUGGGGGCUUAUGCAUGCACAGUACAGAUAUAUGAGAUAAGAGAUAUGAGAUAUGAGAUGAGAUCGUCCCCAUCUAUCCGUUGUGGCUCCGGGGCGUGACGUUACCCAGAUAGUGCGUUAUUGCCUGGCCGUUGUAGCCCGGAUAUGAUCAGAUUAUCCCCUGGGUACUUGUUUGAUGACAGUUUUUAGUAUUCAGUAUUUAAUAUGAGUAUGGUGAUUCCAUCGAUUUUAUGCAGAUUUAUUAUUGCAGUUAUUCAAUUUGAAUUAAAUGAGUUUAUGAUAUUUUGAGAAAUUGAUUUGAGAAUUGAUUUACGAAAUUGAAAUUGAUUUAAGAAAAGAUUUGAGAAAGAUUAAAUGAUUUUGAAUAAUUUAUUAAAGUAUCAGCACCUACUAUCCACUCACUGAGCUCACUGAGUUUUAUACUCACCCCUCUUUUAUUAUAUUUUUCCCCCCACAGGAGAUUUACAGGUACAUCAGUCAACCCAGUAGUGAACGUUAGUUUGAUAUUGUGGUCACGUGAUGGUGCUAGAAGUCGUGGAUUUUAUUAUUAUAUUCGAAAUUUGUGUUAUUAUUUUAUGUUAUUAAGGAUAAUCGUUGUAUUUUAAUAUUCGGAUGAUUUUGGUGAUAUUUGAGAAGUUGGUUUGAGAAGUUGGUUAUGGAGGAUGUUUGGUUAUUAAAUUAUUUCGGGAGUGUUAUUUUGUCAAUUGCAGGGUUGGAUAUGUUUUAUUUAUAAGGGAGACUCUGCCGAAAUUUUUAUAGAUUUGUUAUUAAUUCGAUUUUACGAGUUUAGAUAGACUCGCCCUGGGGGAGGUUGCGGGGCGGGUCGUUUCAGUUGGUAUCAGAGCAUGGUUUUAGAUUCUGUAGACUUUAUGGUCGUAAAUAGAAUAAGUUUUGAUUAUUAAGUCGGAUUUACUAUUUUGUAGGCACCAUCAUAAUUAAAUUAGUUAGAAGUAAAAUUAUCUCUCUAGUAUUAUGCAAGGGUAGAAAUUUGGGUUGUACCAUGUUAUAAUUAUCAAGGAUAGUUUUGAUAGAAUUCUAAUUGUAAUAUAUGACUGUAUAAAAAAAAAAGAACAUUAAUGAAAGAUGUUUAGGUAAGGACUAUCUUGGAAUAGAAUUUUGAUUGUAAUAUAUCAAUAUAUAAAAAAAAAAUUUAUGAAAAAUGUUUAACAAGGACUGUUUUGAUAUUUUAAUGAGUAGUAAAAAUUAAUGUUAAAAUUUGAUAGAACAUAUAUAAAUAAUCCUAGCUCUAAUAAAAUUUUGCUACAUAAUUAGUUUAUCCCUUAAAGAAACAUAUCAAAAAAAUAUACAAAAACACAAUGCAUGAGUACAUGUCAAUCACAAAUGAAAGCAAUUAAGAUAAAGAAUAUGAUUUAUUUUAUUUUAUUUUAGUUAUUUUUUUGUUUCUUUUGAAACAAGACCAAUUAGAUCUGCAAGAAGUAAUUUUUUAAAAAAAUAAUAAAAAAAGGAGAAAUGAUGAAACCCACGUCCAAAGAUGCCGUUGUCGCGGAGGCCUAGAUCUCACUACACCCCAUCCCCUUCUACCAUAUUUUAUAAUUGAAGAGGCCAUUAUUGAAUUGAAAAAUUAUGAUUCAAAUAUCCAAAAGUAGAAAAAGAAAAGCAAUUGUUGGAAACACACUCGGAGUUUUAAAUUGACAUGAGAAAAGAAUAUAUUCAUCAACCUCAUACGUUAAUGAUGCGACGAGUUUAAGAAUAUAUUCCUAACGUGUGGGAAUUUAAAGACGUUACUACAAAACAUGUGUUCGUCGGUGGAGUAGAAUCAGGGAAAUUAAAGAUGCUACUACAACCACUAACGUGUGGGUGGAGAUAAGCAUAACUUUUUUCAUCAAAUGCCAAAUCCCCCCAGGUGGAGAGUGGGGACUCCUUCGCAUAAAUGUUGAUAAAAUUUUGACUAUGAUGUUAUUAGGAAUUAAGGGAAACUGUGGUGCAAUUGUGGUAUCGUGUCACAGUUGUAUUUGGUCGUUGGAUGUCAGUAGACCCUACCCAUAUAAGUGUAUCUAAUGGCUAAAUGUAAUUAUAACACGGUACCGCAAUUGCACCGUAGCCGAACCCUAAAAAUUAAGAUAUUCUCUCUCUACGUAUGCCUGCACGAAAUAAAUAAUAUGCAAAUAUAGUAUUUUAGUUUAUUAUUAAUAGUUUUACAAUAAUAAAAAUCAUUUUGAUAGACUGGAAAAUGUCAUAUUCGCAUUUUAUUUUGUACGGACGUCUGCGAGAAAGAACAUAUAUAUAUAUAUAUAUAUAGAGGAACGUGUAUUUAAGAUUUAGCUAGUGUGAAGUUGGGAAAUUUUUUUUUUGAACCCAGGCUAAAAUUAUUUCAAUAAAUUUUGAUCAUGGAGACUAAUAAGAUUUUUUUAGUUAUAUUUAUUAAUUUUUUAGGGACUAAUAAAUUUUGAUCAUGGAGACUAAUAAGAUUUUUUUAGUUAUAUUUAUUAAUUUUUUAGGGACUAACAUGAAUAUUAAUAAUUUUAUUGAGAUUAUUAAAAAAACAAUGUGCUAUUUUACAUCUAUGACUUUUCCAAUCUUUUUUUCUUUCGUUAUUUAUUCCUUUGUGAAUUUUAGUUAAUGCUUGAUAUUAUUUUUUUGCUCAUUUUUUAAAGCAGUAAUUAAAUCUGAACCCUUACAGUAGAAGAUUAUGAAAAAGUAAAGACACAAAAAUCAUAAAAAUCAUUAGUACGUCCAAAUUGUGCUAUUUUCAUACAUAACUUGAGAAUAUUUAUAAUUACGCAUCAGAACUAGUGGAGUAGAAUCAGGGAAAUUAAACAUUCUACAAUCAUUGACGUGUGGGGUGGGGAUAAGCAUAAACCUUUUCUAUGCAGUAUAAAAGAAUGCAAUAACUCCUUUUGUUUCAUAUCUUCGCAGCAAAAGCACAUCUAAUAACUCUUCAGAAUUCUCGUCUUCUUUGUCAGAAUGGUUGAUGCGAUCGUUUCCUCUCUCCUGGGGCAGCUGAGCUCUGUUGCGGCUGAUGAAGUGAAACAGCAGGUGAGGCUUGUGACUGGUGUCCGACAAGAAGUGACAAAGCUUACCAGCAAUCUUCGAGCCAUUCGAGCUGUGCUGGAAGAUGCAGAGAAAAGGCAAAUGCAGCGCGACAAUGCUGUUACUUUUUGGCUGGAUCAGCUCAAAGACGCAUCUUACGACAUGGAAGACGUGUUGGAGGAGUGGACCACUGCAAGGCUCAAAUUGCAGAUUGAAGGCGUUGAUGAUGACAAUGCUCUUGCUCUUGCUCCUCAUAAGAAGAAGGUACGCUCCUUCUUUUGUGCUGUAUCAAACUGGUUUGGUAGUUUCAAACAACUUAGUCUUCGUCAUGACAUUGCCGUCAAGAUUAGGGAAAUCAAUGGAAAGCUAGAUGGUGUUGCCUCCCAAAAAGAUACGUUUAAAUUUGUUGAGAAUGUGAGCAACAAUGUUAAGAAACCAGAGCGAGUGCGAACCACCUCCUUGAUUGAUGAGGGAGAGGUUUGCGGUAGAGUUGAUGAGAAAAAUGAGCUCUUAAACAAGUUGUGUGAAAGUAGUGAACAACAACAAGGCCUUCAUGUCAUCUCACUAGUUGGGUUAGGGGGUAUAGGUAAAACCACUCUUGCACAACUAGCCUAUACUAAUGAUGAUGUGAAAAGAAAUUUUGAAAAAGUUAUAUGGGUGUGUGUAUCAGACACUUUUGAGGAGAUUAGGGUCGCCAAAGCAAUCAUUGAAGGUCUAGGCAUGUCAGCUUCUGGUUUAAGCGAAUUCGAAUCUCUUGUGAAACAGAUUCAGGAAUAUAUUACGGGGAAGAAAUUUUUUCUUGUUUUAGAUGAUGUGUGGGAUGUAGAUUACAAAAAAUGGGACCCAUUCUUUUCUUGUCUAAAGAAUGGCCACCAUGAAAGUAAAAUUCUAAUUACCACACGUGAUAGGUCAGUUGCACUACAGUUGGGAUCAAUAGAUAUUAUCCCUGUCAAGGAGUUGGCUGAAGAGGAAUGCUGGUCGUUGCUCGAGCGGUUAGCAUUCUUCCGUCGUUCUGUUGAUGAUCAUGAAAAAUUAGAACCAAUCGGGCGAAAAAUUGCACACAAGUGCAAAGGCCUGCCUCUUGCUGCAAAGGUAAUAGGGAAUCUCUUGCGCUCUAAAAUUACAGUAAAAGAGUGGCAAAGAAUUUUAGAUAGUGAAAUGUGGAAAGUACAAGAGAUUGGGCAAGAUCUUUUGGCCCCUUUGUUGUUGAGUUAUAACGAUUUGCCCUCCAAUUCUAUGGUAAAACGGUGUUUCUCAUAUUGUGCUGUCUUUCCAAAAGACUACGAGAUGGAUAAAGAGGAGUUGAUUGAUCUGUGGAUGGCUCAAGGUUACCUUAAUGCAGAAGAAGACGAAGAGAUGGAGAUGAUUGGGGAAGAGUGUUUCAACAUUUUAGCAGCACGCUCUUUCUUUCAAGAGUUUGAGAAAAAUGAUGAUGAUGAUGAUAUUAGGAGUUGCAAGAUGCAUGACAUAGUACAUGAUUUUGCCCAAUUUGUAAGUAGAAAAGAAUGUUUGUGGGUAGAAAUGUAUGAUAACAAAGAAUCAGUCAUAAAGUCUUCUGGUGUCAAAGUCCGUCACUUAGGGUUAAAUUUUCAAAGAGGAGCUUCAUUUCCUACGUCCUUUUUUGAAUUUGAUAGAUUGCGUAGCCUCUUAAUUUAUGAUAGAAGUUAUUCCAAUCAGGUUCUUAAUAGUAAAUUGGCGUGUUUAAGGACAUUAGUUAUAAGGCAAUCGUUCCAAUAUUUUUAUCCUAUUUCUCUUGACUCAAAUGCGAUUAGAGAAAUUCCAGAAAAUGUUGGAAAAUUGAUACAUUUAAAAUAUCUUAAUUUGUCUAAAUUAGCCAUAGAGAUACUACCUGAGACUUUGUGUGAAUUAUAUAAUUUACAAAAGCUAGAUAUUAGGGAGUGCCGAUAUCUUAGGGAAUUGCCAGCGGGGAUUGGGAAGUUAAAGAACAUGAGAAGUUUACUGAAUGAUAAAACUUAUUCAUUGAAGUACAUGCCAAUAGGGAUUUCCAGAUUGACCAGCCUUCGAACAUUAGAAAAGUUUGUUGUGGGUGGAGGUGUUGAUGGUGGCAGCACGUGUAGGCUUGAAUCUCUGAAAAAUCUUCAACUCCUUCGUGAAUGUAGAGUAGAAAGGCUGAGUAAUGUAUCGCAUGUAGAUGAGGCUGAGAGGUUACAACUUUACAAUAAGAAAAACCUCCUUCGUUUGCGUCUUUGGUUUGGUGGAGUCGUAGAUGGGGAAGGCGAAGAAGGGAGGAGGAAGAAUAUUGAGAAAGAUAAACAACUUCUUGAAGCCUUACGACCGCCUUUGAAUUUAGAGGAAUUAGGGAUUGUAUCCUACCAAGGCAACAUUUUUCCCAAAUGGUUGACUUUGCUAACCAAUCUAAGGAAUUUAUUUCUUUCCUCGUGCGUUAACUGUGAGCAUUUGCCUCCUUUGGGAAAAUUGCCUCUGGAAAAACUCAAACUAUGGAAAUUAAAAAGUGUAAAAAGAGUGGGUAAUGAGUUUUUGGGAAUAGAAGAAAACAGUGAGGACGACCCAUCUUCAUCUUCAUCGUCAUCAUCAGUUAUUGCCUUCCCCAAAUUGAAAUCACUCGAAAUUUGGGACAUGGAGGAAUUGGAAGAGUGGAAUUACAGGAUUACGAGGAAGGAAAACAUCUCCAUCAUGCCCCGUCUUUCUUUCUUAAAAGUUGUUUUUUGCAACAAAUUAAAGGCGCUGCCGGAUUACCUUCUUCAAACGACGGCACUGCAGGAACUGCGUAUUUUUUCUUGUGAUCUUCUAGAAGAACUGCCCAUUCUAGAAGAUCGCAGGACAACAGACAUUCCACGUCUUUCUUCCUUGCGAAUUUCGGAUUGCCCCAAAUUAAAGGUGCUGCCGGAUUACCUUCUUCGGACGACGACGCUGCAGGAAUUGACUAUUGACGAAUGUCCCCUUCUGGAAAACCGUUAUAGAGAGGGGAAAGGAGAAGACUGGCAUAAGAUAUCUCACAUUCCCCACAUCGAGUGGUAAAUUCUCGAAUGGUUGCAAUUACUAUCACCCACCGGUAAUUUCUCACCUCUAUUUUACUUUGUUGUUACUUCAAACAACGACACUGCAAACAUUGACAAUUUGUACAUAUCAAUAAAAUGUACAAAGUUAAAAAUAUAGAAUGCAUUAGUACAUGUCAAUAACAAGACCAAUUAGAUUAUGGCAUUGCUUUAUUUUAUUUAUUUAUUUUUUUGAUUCUUUUGAAACAAGAUCAAUUAAUUAGAUCAUGCUAGAAGUUAAUUUUUUUUUUCAAAUGAAAAAGGAGCAGUCAUACAAAGUUUGAAUAUAAAAUUUAUAAUCUAAAACUAAUAAUGUGACAAUUAGCAUGUUAUUAACCUAUCUAAUAGAGUAGGAAGUCCCAAAUACAUCAUAUUCUGCUCCAGAAAUCCAUUCCACCUAGAAUACUUCUUUCUAUUGAAAUUAAUGAUGAUUUGUUUGUUUGCAUCAUGAAAGUUAAAAAUAAUUUUAUGAGUAAUUUGAUUCUUUACGGUACAAAAAAUAAAUUUGGAAAGUACUAAUUUCUCUCAUACUUUUUGGGCUAAAAAAUAAAUGUAACUCCAACAUAUUUAUUAUUUAAUGGUUCUAUAUAGAAUCAAUCGUGGUAUAAAUAUGUAAAACUUCCUAGUUAUCAAUUUUGUCUUGCAUAAUGAUAAUCGUUUUUUUUUAUAUAUAAUUUAUGUGACAUUAAUUCUUUAAAGUAAUUGUGGAAUUGUUUUUACUACAUUAGCCCUCUUUGUUUUAUUUCAUACGAGUUUAAUUAUGUUCACCAGGGAUUCGAGGAAAUGUCAGAACCACACUAGCAAUUCACAGGUCCAAUCUAAUUUGGUUUUAAUGAUGCAGGCAGGAGAGUAUGCUAAGAAAAUGAAAAGUUUAGCCAAAGGAUUGCUAAAAUGUUCUGCUGGUAAUUCACUUGCUUUAUUUUAUAGAAUUUCAUUUCCAUCUUCUUCUAUUGAUAUCUUGUUGUGAAUAAACAAGAACAGAGAAGUAAAGAUAUAUCAAAAUUAACUAUUACGAUGAUGCUAAAGCAAGCUCAAGCUCAAGCAUUGCAUUUUUAUUUUAUUUAAUUUAUAGAAUUUUCAUUUCCACCUGCAUUGCAUUUUUAUUUAUUUUUAGGUUGACUUUGAAUACUUCAUGGUGAAAAUGACGAGUUCAGCCAAAGGAUUGCUAAAUGUUCUGCUGGUAAUUCACUUGCUUUAUUUUAUAGAAUUUCAUUUCCAUCUUCUUCUAUUGAAUCUUGUUGUGAAUAAAGAAGAACAGGUAAGUAAAUGAUUGAACCACAGAGAAGUAAAGGUGUAUCAAAAUUCGCUAUUAUGAUGAUGUUAAAGCAAGCUCAAGCACAAGCAUUGCACUUUAUAUUUUAUUUAGUUAAUAGAAUUUUCAUUUCCACCUGCAUUUCAUUUUUAGGUUGACUUUGAAGACUCUAUGGAGAACAUUGGGGUAACCAAGGAUUAUCACUGUGGUUAUUGUGCAACGUUUGGUUGCUGGACUUUGAAGAAGGAAGUGAUGGCCGGGUCUGCUCUGUUUCAAUUGAGGAUGGAUAGCUGCCUGAAAGACAUGAUGAUUAUUAUUGUGUGAUGUUAAGGUGCUGAGAUCAUCAUUGCUAUCUUGUUUCAUUCUUGGAAUCAUUUAUCCUGUAUAAACAUUUGUUUUAACAAAUGUUUCAAUGGCUGCUGUAGUAACAAUUUCAUAUCUUGCAUCUCUCGGGUGCAUCAUGAUCACGGGUUUGAGAAAGCAUUUGUGGUAAAGCUUCAAAGCUUGUACAAUGGCUGUGAAAAGGCACAUUCAAUUCGGUACGUUUGGUGCGGUCUCCUAAUGCUACUACCAUAUUUUGUAUAGCAAUUAAAAUUCAGGUAUACAAUCUUAAUAUGCAAUAAAUCAUUGAGUACAAAGUUAUCUAUUAAUUAUAUGGUAACUGAAAUUUUCAUUAUAAUUUUAAUUAUCAUAUUAAUAUUAAAGUUUUUUGUAACCCUCUUUUACUUUGCUUGUACAGAGUAUCUGUUUUGGCUGAUAUGUCUAAUUCGUAGCAAUUCAUUUCCAUCGGUUUCCAUUGGUUUUAGCACAAACAGAAACAAAAAUCUGGGGAAAAAGUUUUACUUCUUGUGGUAUUAUGCCUUUAUUUAUUCAUUCAUCAUAUUUGUUCGAAUUCAUGCUCUCAUUCAGAGAGCAGCCUUUUCCAGGCUACUUUGUAGCCAAAUUUUCAUGCCAUCGAUGCAUGAUUGUCAUUUAGAUUUUCCAAAUAAUUGUUAGAUUGAAGAAGAAUAAGAAGAUAUUGUUAAAAGGGUAUUUAAUUAGCACCCUCUGAAUUUAGUUGCCAAUAAUGCAUUGAAAUGGUUGGGGAAAGUUAUUGUCUCACUUAAAUUACAGGUGAUAAGAUGCUGCUCCAAUUUUGCAAGCAUCUCGUGUUGCGAAGAUUUUGCCCACAUGAGAUGUUAUGAUUUUUGACAUCAGGGUAACACAGGUCAAAUUUUAGCAUCAAUAGAUAUCAUCUUCUUUACUGUUCUGCUCGAAAUAUUAAACUUUAGGCAAGUUGUUUUUGGUUGUGUGAGUUAUCAGGUUAAGGAUACUAAGCAGCUUAUUAAGGCAAAUGUCAGAAUGCAGAUUGCUCACCACACCUGGUAUGCAUGAUGGCCAGGAAGAUUAAUUGUUCACAAGCCAAUUUGAUCAGUGUUAGAUUUUUUUCCUCCUUUCGAGGGACAUCAUCAUCAAAUUUGAGUAGAGAAUCUUUGAAGGGAAUUUUGUUGUAAGAGUUUCACAGUAGUGAAUUCUAGAAGCUCGAACUCACUUGAGUGAGAUAUUAGGGAGUAUUGGGGAUUUGGGUUAUGAGUAAUCAUUAUCCUUCCAAUAUGUGUAAGCACUCACUUGUUAGUAAAAUCAUCUUCGUAUAUUGACUAUGUUUCUUUGUUAUCAGGUAGAGUGUGAUCUUCAAGGGUUUGAGAAAGUCCUUGCAGUAAAGUUUCCACCACAAGUAAUUGCUCAGUUUCAGAUUUUCUAGGCGUUUAAUUAGUUUCGAUUAUAAUAUUUAGUCACUCAUUCUGAAUCUUUUCUAAUUUUCAAGUUCCUUAGGGUCACAAUCAUUUUUUCAAGUCUGCUGUGGCUGCAAAAAGAUUGUUGGUCAUAAAAUUAUCUUGACCCUUGAGCCAUUGCGUUUGAGCACAAACAGAAACAGAGCUAAAGGAAAAGAACUUGACGCAAGAAGAUGCUCUGAAUAUAACAAAAGUAUAUUUCUACUUCUUGUGGUUAUUUACUUUUGUUUCUCCUGUCAGCAUAUUUGAUUAAUUCGUUCGAAUUCACACUCUCACACAUUAUUUAAAACCAUUUGUAGGUGGCUUGCAAGCUAAUUAAGUUAAUGCAGAAGCAAUACUCUAGACUUUAGUGAAGUUGUUUUUGUUUGUGUAAGUUAUCAGGUUAAGGAUACUAAGCAGCUUAUUAAGGCAAAUGUCAGAAUGAAGAUUGUUCACCGCACCUGGUAUGAAUGAUGGCGAGGAAGAUUAAUUGUUCACAAGCCAAUUUGAUCAGUAUUAGAUUCUUUUGCCUCCCUUCGAGAGAUAUCAUCAUCAAAUUUGAGAAGAGAGUUUUGUUUUGACAUUUCACUGUAGUGAAUUUUGGGAGCUUGAACCCACUUCAGUGAAAUAUUAGGGAAUACUGGGGAUAUGGGUUAUGAGUGAUCGUUAUCCUUCAAAUAUUUGUAAGCUCUCACUUGUUAGUAAAACCAUCUUCGUAUAUUGACUUUGUUUCUUUGUUGUCCGGCCGAGUGUGAUCUUCAAGGUUUGAGAAAGUCUUCGCAGUAAAAUUUCCACCACGUGCAAUUGCAGUGAAGGGGCAUAUACAUUUGAGUAAUUCAGUUUCAGAUUUUCAAGGCGCGUUUGUUUAAUUAGUUUCGAUUAUAAUAUUUAGUCACUCAUUCUGAAUCUUUUCUAAUUUUCAAGUUCUUUAGGGCCGCCAACAGUUUUUCAUGUCUACAUGUGGCUGCAAAAAGAUUGAUGGUCAUCAAAUUAUCUUGAGCCUCGAGGCAUUGCAUUCGAGCACAAAGGGAAACAGAGCUAAGGGAAAUGAAGACAGUAGGAGAUGCUCUGAAUAUAACAAAAGUAUAUUUCUACUUGUGGUUAUUUUAAUUUUGUUUCUCCUGUCAUCAUAUUUAAUUAAUUCGUUUGAAUUCACACUCUCACACAUUAUUUAAAACCAUCUGCAGGUGAUAGAAUAUGGGAGACGUUGUUAAUGGAAAAACAGUACUCUAGACAAAGAUGAGCAAAUUGAAGGCGACAAAUGCAAAUUGGAUUUCCAUGAAUAAUUGUUAGGCUGGUGGAGAUAUUCUUAAAAGGGCAUUAAGCUAUCUUAUGGAAUUGGAAAGUUAUUAUUACUUGAAAGCAAGCAGCAUCUUCGUUGCGAAGGCUUUCCCCACUUGAUAAGAUGCUGAGAUUGUUAUCGGCCCCUUAAUUAUUUAUUAACUCAGGUAUUUAUUAUCAGUACAUCAUCUUAUUCACCAUUUUGGCUGUAUAUAAAGAUUAAAAUUUCUAACAGUUGUUUCGGAUUCUUGUGUACUCAGGUUAAUAGGGCAAAUGUCAGAAUGAAGAUUGCUCAGUGCAACCGAUAUAGCAAGGAUGAUAGUUGUGAGGAAGAUUGUUGGCAAGCCAAAUAGAGCCCUCCAUUUGGAGAAAUAUCAUCCUCAAAUUUGAAUUGUUGAGCAUGUGAGGUGAAGCUAAAGCCUUAAUAAUGAGACCUUCCUGUGGAAGUUUCAUUUGAAUGAAUUGAACGUUCUUAGUGAGUGAGAAAUUAAGCAUAUAUCAGCGAUUUUGGUCGUCAGUGAAUGUUUUCCUUCAAUAUUAAUACACUGGCAUUUCUUAGUAAAUUCCCUUCACGUCACUUCCUCCUUGUUGGUGGGAUUAGUAAACAAAUGCCAUUUCUUAGUACAUUUUGAGAAUUUUGACUCCCAAAUAAGCCUGCAGAGCGGUGUAUGGUGGGAUUAGCUGCAGGAUUCUUUGCCAAACUUCCUUUUUAUUCCUUUGUUCACUUAUUCGUUAUAAAUAAAGUAAAAUUAGAAUAUUGUUCCGUUUACUGUCUAAGCUGGUCUAACAUUUGUUUAAUUUGGGCAAUUUUUAAUGCCUAACAGGUUAUCUGUGACAAACCCAUCAGUGAGUGUAUGCAACUAUUGCGUGGAUUUGAUAGAGUGGUCACCAACAAUUUUGAAGUUAUUGGAGUAGCACGGCUUUGAGGUCUCUCCCUCCCUCUUUUACGUAUUUGUCUAUUGAUCGACAUGUCUAUAUAUACAUUGAUAGACCAACUUACUCUUGUUUUAAUGUUUUGUUUGUUAAAAUUUGACUGGGUUAUGUUUAUUUGUCUCAUAUGAUGUCAAUGUGGUUCCUAUUGAAGUGUAUAGAUCUGUCACCUCAAAGUCUGAUUUCAAUUUUCCUUUACUUCAUCAACUAGCAUCCUUUCCAAGUCCAGAUACUUACCAAUAGUGAUACUUUGCUACGGAAGUACAAUUUCUCUUGUUUUACAGUUAAUUAUGAAAGAAAAGUUUUAAAUUUACAGAAUUCUGGUAUAGCUCUCUUAAGGAAAUGCGAGUGGUGAAUAUGGUUCCAACUUUUAAUAGGCUUAAUAGGCCCAUUUGUUGAGCCACAGUGAUUGCGGUGUAAAUUCUUCUUUACUGUCUAUAUGUGUUGGAGUUUGUCUAUUGUCCAACUUCUCAAAUCGAUUCCAUGCAGGGUUUUGAAUGUCUAAUUAGGAGAACGAUUAACGGAUGACCUUUUGAAGAAGGCUUACACAACAGGCCAUCUCGGGAUGUCAUGGCUCAGCUCAAAAGUCCCCAGGUGGGUGAUAUCAAAGAAUGCCAUUGUUUCUGGGCUUGGUCUCCUUGGCAUCAAACAAGAUAAUGUUGACUGCAUAAAUUUGUUGGAGUUAAUGUAGUCAAUUGCCCAAUUUCGCUGCCUAUCGAAGAGACACAUCAUGGAAGUCCUCAUCAAACUCUGAGACACCUAAGAAAUAGUAGGAGGUGGUGGUACUUGCCUGGGGUUAAUUUCCUGGCAAGUAUAGUUCACUGAUAGAGGGAAUCUUCUCUUGAUGUCUAAAUACCGUAUGUGAUACAACGUCGUAUAUUCUAAUUUUCCUUGAGUUAAAUUCUAGUCAGUUAGGAAAGUUAAUUUUGUUUUCGCUAUGGAUUGUUUCCUAGAUAAUAAUAGUUUCCAUGUUCCUUUGGGGUCUUAUUAACUCUCUGUAACCCAGUUCAAGUUUGCAAAUUCUAUUUCAGAUUUCUCAUAUAGUGUGCCUUUGUGACUUCUGUGAUACACUUUUGAUCACAAGUUUCCAUUUGAAGUAGCCAAUAUUCUUUAUAGACUAAUUAUCUAAGGAUUAUUUUAUACAAAAAAUGAAAACUUUAAUUAAUUGAUCAUACUUAACUUAGCUCUUGUUUAAUAUUACGAGCUGUUGUGAGAACAAAAAAAUAGCAGAAAGUUGACAGUGUGCAGUAAAUGUAUGACUUUUAAAUAAUAAUUUAAUAAAAUUAAUAAAGAUAUUAUAAGUUUUUUAAUAAUAAAGUAUGAGAUCAAAUUAAAUUAAUUAAUUUUGAAUUAUUUUAUUAUUGUCAAAAUGUAAUAUCUUAAAUAACAGUUAUUUUUAUUAAGAAUAUUUUUUUGGUAAUGAAUUAUACUUUUUAAAAUAUAAUUGAAAAUUCUUAUUAAUGAACUAAUAAAAAAUUAAUUAUUUGAGUUAUCUCCUAAACUACUUAGCUCACGAGAUAAAUUCACUUAGUUUAGAACGAAGCGGUGGGUUUUAUGUGGGAAGCCACAUCCUUACCACAUCAACCUCAACAUCGAAACAUGGAAUUGGACUAAAAAUAGUUCUUUCCCAUGUAUUUACGUAACCUCCUCCCAGUAAACGCAAAUAUGUAUUCUUGAGUGCAUGUAAUCCACAAGUUUGAUUGAGUAGAAGAUGUCGUUGUCACAAAGGCCUGGACGCCAUACCUCGAAUGAUAUGUUAGUAUGAAAUUAUGUUUUUUUUUUUUUUUUUGAGAGAGGUAUGAAAUUAUGUGAAAAUUAAUAUAUCACUUUUUUUUUCUUUUUUCCUUUUUUGCGUGAGUGAUGGCUUCGUUGAAUGACAGUUGGCAAAUAAUAAGUUAUCUUUUAAUUUUGGUUUUGAUUUGAAAAAAAUAUUAAUUUUUGUAGUUUCGGUAGAUGAAAUUUCGAAUCAAAUAUUAAUAUUGUUAAAGUACGCAACCCAAUAUUUGCUUAAAUUACAAAAAAGAUUAAUUACUUUGCAUAAAAAAAAAGUGAUCACUUGAUUUAACUUCCUUUACUAAAUUUACGAUUUAAAAUCCAAAAUAAAAAAAAGGAAAACAAUUUUUGGACACACACUCGGAGUUUUAAAUUAAUAUGAAAAACGAGUUUAUUAUUGAUAGGAAAACAAUCAAGUGAUCACUUGAUUUAACUUCCUUUACUAAUUUUACGAUUUAAAAUCUAAAAUAAAAAAUUGUUUAUUAUUGAUUGUCUUUUUCCCAAAAUUUAAGCUAAAACAGUAAUAUGUCCAAAAUACCCUCCACGUUAUCCUAAAACUUUAUAAACUCCCCCGUUCCUCUCAACAUCAUCUCUUCCAAAUCUUUCUCCCCCAAAAAACCAGCCAUGGCUUCAUAUUUAGUUACCUCAACACUCCAAUAUUGGCUUGUAAACAGUAGUGGUUCGACCUCUAGGCAACUUAGGUGGUUGUAUAGGACUCCGCUUUAUAUGAAAACCCUACGAGAUGAUUAUUUUGUAUAUAAAAGAGGAAAAUGAAUUUAAAAGUGAUUAUUAUUUAUUUAAUUUAUUAUUAUUUUGUAAUUAUCUUUUUCUAAAUAAACUAUCAAAUUCUUAUAAAGUUUAUUUAAUGUACUACUUAAUUGUUUUAAUUAAUUUCUACAAAACCAAUAAAUUAAUAGUUUCAAUCCUAAACAUUCUCUAUUUCAUUGUUAGAAUUAAUAAGUUAUAUUUCAAAAGUUUUAUAUUUAUUUUAAACCUCUAUAAAAGCCCCACAUUUUAUUACUUAUCCAUUACAUUUUUCCUCCAACAAUCAAGACAUCUUGGUGUUUUAGAGAAAGAAAGAGAAAGAAGGAAAAAAAUCUUGCUUCCCCUACUUUCUACUCUAGAAGAAACAGAAAAAAUCUAAUAGUUUUCUCUAUUUUCUAUGACUAUUGGUCGUUACUCAAAUUUUCAAACAAUAGCCUUAAUAUAAAUAUAAGUUAAUUUAUGAUUUCAUCUCAAAUUUUUGAUUUUAUCUUUUUAUUAUUCUCUUAAUUAGUUGUGUUUUAUUUGUUCUUAUUUCUUUUUAAUAUAUUCUUUUAUUCAUCUAAUUUUUUUUUGUGCUUGUUUUAUCUAUUUUGAAAUAAAACUAUAUCAAAAAACUUUAGACAAUAGAAGAAUAGAAAAAUUAGUUUAAUUUAAAAAAAAAAGUAAAAAGAUAUAAUUUAACUUAAAAAAAUAAAUGAAAAUGUUAUAAUUGAAUUAAAAUUUUAUGAAUUAACAUCAAUGGAAUGAAUUUUUAUUUAAUAAUUUUACAUUUUAAAGUGUUUAAAGAAUUAAUUUUCAAUAAAUAAUAUACGUUAUAUACCUUCUAGAAGAUAUAUAACGUAUUUCAAUAAAUAAUUGUACAUUAUGAAUUAACAUCAAUGGAAUGGAUUACCUUCUUCAAACGACGGCACUGCAGGAACUGAGUAUUUCUUAUUGUCCAAUUAUGGAAGAACUGCCCAUUCUAGAAGAUCACAGGACAACAGACAUACCACGUCUUUCUUCCUUGCGAAUUUGGAAUUGCCCCAAACUAAAGGUGCUGCCGGAUUACCUUCUUCGGACGACGACGCUGCAGAAAUUGACAAUUUGGGGAUGUCUCAUUCUGGAAAACCGUUAUAGAGAGGGGGAAGGAGAAGACUGGUAUAAGAUAUCUCACAUUCCCCACAUCAAGUGAUCGCCGUAAUUUAUCACUCGCCGGUAAUUUCUCCUCCGCCUCUGAUUUACUUCGUUGUUGCUUGCAAUGAAAUUAAUAAAAAUAAUUAUAUUUUGAAUUAAAAUUUCUAUACUUAUUUACUUUUAAAAAAUAUGUGCUCUUUUGUAAAAUUUCAUGCAAUGUAAUUUAUUUUUUAAUGUACGAUAAUUUGUUGUGUGUAACUUCCUGAGAGACAAAAUCUCUGUGAUACAUUUGCAGUAAUGUUGAAAACUAAAUUAUCAAUUUUAUCUUGUAUAAUGAUAAUCUUAUUUUUUUAUAUAUAAUUUAUGUGACAUUAAUUCUUUAAAGUAAUUGUGUAAUUGUUUUUACUACCAGUUUAUGUUUCAUUUUAAUUAUGUUCACCAGGGAUUCGAGGAAAUGUCAGAACCACACUAGCAAUUCACAGGUCCAAUCUAAUUUGGUUUUAAUGAUGCGGCAGGAGAGCAAGACUAUGAAAAUGAAAAGUUUAGCCAAUGGACUGCUAAAAUGUUCUGCUGGUAAUUCACUUGCUUUAUUUUAUAGAAUUUCAUUUCCAUCUUCUUCUAUUGAUAUCUUGUUGUGAAUAAACAAGAACAGAGAAGUAAAUGAUUGAACCACAGAGAAGUAAAGAUAUAUCCAAAUUCGAUUAUUAUGAUGAUUAAAGCAAGCUCAAGCUCAAGCAUUGCAUUUUUUAUUUUAUUUAGUUUAUAGAAUUUUCAUUUCCACCUGCAUUGCAUUUUUAUUUCAUUUUUAGAUUGACUUUGAAGACUCUAUGGAGAACAUUGGGGUAACCAAGGAUUAUCACUGUGGUUAUUGUGCAACGUUUGGUUGCUGGACUUUGAAGAAGGAAGUGAUGGCCGGGUCUGCUCUGUUUCAAUUGAGGAUGGAUAGCUGCCUGAAAAACAUGAUGAUUAUUAUUGCAUGAUGUUAAGGUGCUAAGAUCAUCCUUUCUAUCUUGUUUCAUUCUUGGAAUCAUUUAUCCUAUAUAAACAUAUUGAAUUGUGCUAAUAUUAUCAUAUGCGUAAAUGGAGGCAGGAAUUUGGUGUUGACACUAUUAUGCAGGUAACCACACUUGAUAAUUGGCACAAAUUUGCGUUGUCAGAAUAUCCUUUAAUAUUCAACGUGUCUCUUUGUGUUAUCAGGAGUAUCAUGUCCAAGGGUAAAGGUGCUGCCGGAUUGGUGGAUGCCCCAAAUUAAAGGUGCUGCCGGAUUACCUUCUUCAAUCGACGACACUGCAGAUAUUGAGUAUCUUUUUGUGAAAAUAUGGAAGAACUGCCCAUUCUAGAAGACCGCAGGACAACAGACAGAUCACUUGCCCCAAAUUAAUGAUGCUGCCGGAUUACCUUCUUCAAACAAUGACACUGUGGAUAUUGAGUAUUUAUGAAUGUCCUAUUCUGGAAAAACGUUACAGAGAGGGGGAUGGAGAAGACUCGCAGAAUGUUAAGGUGCUAAUAUCAUCAUUUCUAUCUUGUUUCAUUCUUGGAAUCAUUUAUCCUAUAUAAACAUAUUGAAUUGUGCUAAUAUUAUCACUUGUGUCAAUGGAGGCAGGAAUUUGGUGCUGAAACUAUUAUGCAGGUAACCACACUUGAUAAUUUGCACAAAUUUGCGUUGUCAGAAUAUCCUUUAAUAUUCAUUGUGUUUCUUUGUGUUAUCAGGUUAUCAUGGUAUACAGAGUAUCAUUUUCAAGGGUUUGUAAGAGCUUUCGCAGUAAAGUUAGUCAUCACCACCUUGUGCAAUUGCACAUACAUUCAGAGUACUUCAAUAUUAGAUUUUCAAGGUUUGUAUGUUUAGUUGCGAUUAAAAUUUUUAGUCACUCAUUCUUAAUCUUUUCUAAUUUUCAAGUUCUUUAGGGCCAUAAACAGUUUUUCCAACUCAUUCUUAUUUUUUAGGUUGAUUUCGAGUACUCUGUGGAGAACAUUAGUGAGACAAAGGAUUAGACUGGCGAUGGAACUGCUGCCUCUGUUGUUAUUGUGCAAGGUUUGAUCACUGGACCUUGAACACGAAAGCCUUACACGCAUUCUGUAAUUCAAGCGUUCUCUAAAACGAACGAGCAGUAGAAGGAAUAGUGAUGACCGGAUCUGCUCUAUUUUAAUUGAAGAUCUCUGUGAUAUUGAGGGGCUUAAAGUAGUUGAUGCUUUUUGAAAAUUGUUAUUACGGAUGAAUUCAUUCCUGAAGACGAGUAGCUAAUGAUUGUUAAGGCUUAUUUUCUUAAAGUUCCUUUCUUAACAAGUGUUUCAAUGCUGGCUGUAGUAACAUUUUCAUAUCUUGCAUCUCUCGGGUGCAUCAUGUUCACAUGUUUGAAAAGGCAUUUGUGGUAAAGCUUCAAAGGUUGUACAAUGGCUGUGAAAAGGCAUAUUCAAUUCGGUACGUUUUGGUGUGGUCUCCUAAUGCUAAUAUGAUAUUUUGUAUAGCAAUUAAAAUUUAGGUAUACAAUCUUAAUAUGCAAUAAAUCAUUGUGUACAAAGUUUUCUAUUAAUUAUAUGGUGACUGAAAUUUUAAUUAUCAUAUCAAUCUUAAAUUUUUUUGUAACUCACUUUUACUUUGCUUGUACAGAGUACCUGUUUUGGCUGAUAUGUCUAAUUCGUAGAAAUUCAUUUCCAUCGGUUUCCAUUGGCUUUAGCGCAAACAGAAACAGAGCUCUGGGAAAGAGUUUGACUUCUUGUGGCAUUAUGCCUUUGUUUCUUCAUUCAUCAUAUUUUUCAAAUUCAUGCUCUCAUUCAGAGAGUAAAGCCUUUUCCAGGCUGCUUUGUAGACAAACUUUGACUCCAUUGAUGCAUGACUGUCAUUUAGAUUUUCCAAGAAACUGUUAGAUUGGAGAAGAAUAAGAAGAUAUUGUUAAAAGGGUAUUUAAUUAGCG
This 53780-nucleotide long non-coding RNA is filed under the name Citrus x clementina. Its description in RNAcentral is "Citrus clementina (C. clementina) long non-coding RNA (CCLE_LNC002482)". Lineage: Eukaryota; Viridiplantae; Streptophyta; Magnoliopsida; Sapindales; Rutaceae. The record is from RNAcentral.